UUUUUUAUUUUUGUUUUUAGAAGGAGAAUGAAUUUGAUGACAAACUCCUUGUCAAUCUUAUCCAAACCACGAUCGAACAGAACUCCUUGUCAAUCUUAUCCAAACCGUGUUCCACCUCAAAAACAUGUGUAGGACUUAAGGCAGCAACUGGCAAGCAUGACUGAUAGGGCCAAGUGCCCUUGUCUCUACAAUCCAUUAAGUUAACCAAGGGCAGUGAACCAUCAUUCUUUUCAAAAGCUUCAUUCCGUGUUGAAAAUGUGAGACUGAAGCAUGGUGCCCCCAAAAAUAACGAUCUAUUUACUAGCAGCAUGCCUGGACCCAUUAAAAAUACUCUACUUUAGGAAUAGAAAAAAUUACAUCUUUAUCCAAUAAUUUUAUAACAAUUCAGACGUUUCAGUCUAUAAAUAAUUGUACAUAGUUGCCAACGUUUAGCUAGUUUCAAAUGAAUAGCCUAGGUUCAUGCACCAGUUUGGCUGGUGGAGGAAAGGGAUUCGAGACAUUGAACCCUCUUUUUAGUGUGCCAAAUAUUCCACAAAAAUCACUACCUUCUCUUUGUGUUUGUUCACUUUUAGUUUAUAUUUAAUAAAUCUAUGUUUUCGAGUAGAGGUUGGGUUCAGGUGCGACCCACGUCACCUCUCGGACGGUCUUGAAAAAGGAGACCGGACCACGUAAUUUCAAAUGUAGUGACCAUCUCACUUUUACCUCCAUCCUUGAAGAUGGUUUCCCAAAUCAAUAUUAAUCUUUUGUUUACGACAAUAUCGAUCACUUUAUGUCUAUAUCGUUGUUAAUUUACCUUUUUUUUUUAGCCACAUUAUUUGAAAAUUGAUGCAAACUUUACCAACAUCUUGGUACCAUUUUAAAAUAUUAGAGUUAUUUGAUUAAAAAAAUAAAAUAAUCUCGAUAACUUGUUUAUAAAAUAAAUAUCUUUUAACAUUUAGACUAUUCUCACGCAUGCUUUAAAAUUGUAAAGAUAUUCAUAAAGUGGAACUUUAGACUUAAUCAAUAUCGAUCACUUUAUGUCUCUAUUGUUGUUAUAUUUUUUUUUUACAACAUUAUUUGAAAAUUGAUGCAAACUUUACCAACAUCCUAAUACCAUUUUAAAAUAUUAGAGUUAUUUGAUUAAAAAAAUAAAAUAAUCCCGACAACUUGUUUAUAAAAUAAAUAUCUUUUAAUAUUUAGACUAUUUUCACCAUGCUUUAAAAUCAUAAAGAUAUUUAUAUUCAUAAAGUGGAACUUUAGACUUAAACAUGAUAAUAGUUUUUUUACAAUAUUAUAAUUAUUUUAUCGUUUUAAUUAAGCCCUUUAUCAUACAUAUAAAUGUAAAUUAAUGCUAAAUUUUUAAAGCAACGUAUAACCUUUUACAUCUUUUUUUAAGAUGGUGCGAAAAUCCUAUGAAAAAUAAUAAAAGUCGAUGCAUAAGAAGAUUGUUUUGAUAAUUCAAUAGAAAAAUUCUUUUAAAAUGAUAUUAAAAAAUACCCAUAGAGCCUUUAUUAAAAAAAUCAAUUAUUUUCAUAAUAAAAAUUAUAAUUUUUUAUUAUGUAUUAUUAUUUUUAAGUAUCUUUAUUACAAAUACUUUUUUUGAGUUUAUGAGAGGAAUCAACAGGUUGGUACAAGCUUAGGCGUCCUCGUACAUGUUCCCGCUGUGCAAGGUUUUUGUCUUGUUUCGAGCUAGUCGGAAUUUACGUGUUUGAUAACGUUUUGUCCUAUUUUUGUAACGCUUUAAAGGGCGGCCCACCGUUGGAACAGUUCAAGCCAUCCAAAUCAGCCCGGAGGGUUAUGGCGACGUGGCAUGACGCCUACCACCUUAGUUCACAUGAACCCUAUGAUCGUACUACCCUCACAUGACAUCUGUGAUUCUUCACCUCCAAACCCUCUUUAACUUGGUAAUGUAUUCAAAGCUUCAUCAAAUCAUAGCGAUUAGCGACCCUCUUCCACCCUAAUUUUAUAAUAAAAAAUAAAUCUUAGUGGACAUUAAAGUAGUAUUUUGUGGGGGGAAAGAAAAACUCUAUGGGCGUAUCCACUAAAUACGAGCCAAGUAUAAGAGUUAUCACCAUGGAAUCAAAUUAUGAAGCAUUGACAUUUUAAUUGUAUUCAGAUUUGAGGAGGGCACCGCGGCACCAGCUGGCCCAGUGUAGUCUGCUAGCCUACCCGCCAUAAUGACCAAAUUAAUAAAGUAAAAAGGAUUACAGGGAUAUUCCCAACUUUAUUCUGGGUCUGAGCUGGAACUUGGGAGUUAUCACGAUCAACGGGAAAGAUGGUGGGUAGGGGACGAGGAUUGAGGGCUCCAUAUUCACAUCAGUGAAAAACGAAAUGUAUUGAGACAAGUCUUCUAAGGAUUUUCUAGCGUAUUAUAUGGUUUAAAUGAUUAUAAAUCUGUAGUUACUGGUAAAGAGUAGAGAGUGAAGACGAAAGACGUUGAGUGAAAAGGAAGGAGGAGAGGGGAUGGGGCCAUCUUACCGUGUCGGGGAGGAUCCAUAAAAGGACUACGUUCCCUGAAUCUGUAGGCAUCAUGCCUCGCCUAACGGGUUAGUCAAAAUACAGUGAUGUGUGUGAGUUGGGGGCCUCACUCCUCAUUUCUUUCCUUCUUUUCACCCCCACCCCCACUUUUUUUUUUUUUUUUUCGAAUUUUUCUUUGUCCUUUUCUCUCACUUGCGCACGCGGGAGAAGGACCACAAACUAGACAAUUCCUCUGCUCACGUGACCCCGAGUUUUUAAAUAUUUGCCUAUUUGGAAAAUAGUCAUGAAUCAUGAUCGUUAACAAACAAUCUUCACUUUAUUUAUUUAAGAUCUAUUUUUUGGAGCUCUAGUUUAGUUUAUUAUUAUUAUUAUUAUUAUUAUUAUUAUUAUUAUUAUUAUUUAGUAACUCCUCUUAUAUUAAUGAAAAAGAGAGGAGGAAUCCAAACUUGUUUAUUCUUCCUCUUUUAAGGUGUUUGUUUUUUUUAUUUUAUUUUUAUGCUUCAUAUGUCUUCAAUUUCUUAGCAUUUGUCUUAUAUUUCUUCUUAUCCGAUUCAUUAUUGCAUCCUUGGUCAAUCUUUCACGAGGAGUGCCUACUUUUUUCCUUUUUAUUAUUUAAUUCACUUUAUCUUUAUAUUUUCCUUUUACACUUUAUUUCCAAUUCAAAACGUGUCAAAAAAAAAAAUUGGUAACAAAAAAAAAAAAAAAAAUCAAUUGUAAUGAUUCUUAUAUAAUUUUAUUUAAUUUUUAUUAAACAAUAAAGAAAUUAAAAAUAUAUAAAUUUUUAAAUAAUUAUUAUAGUCUUUCAUUUUUGUGUAUAAUUUCUUUUGCAAGAAAUAGUGUAGGCUUUCCACGGUCUAAAGGAAAUGGAAUAUCAAAUGAGAAGGUAAUAAUAAUAAAGUGAGUUAUAGAUACUAAUCAAACUAAUCCACUAAUGAAUUAUUUAUUUUUAUUUCACAUGGACAAAUCCUAAAAGUUGGAGUUCUAAUUUACUUUUAUGUUAAGCUUUUUUAAGUAAAAAUCUUUUAUUAUUAUAAUUUAUAGACAAAAAGAAACCCAUUAAUGUGAUGGAUAAAAAAUUUCAAUUUAAAAAAAAAAAAAUUAAAGUUGCUAAAUUUUUGUAUUUAUUAUUUCAAACUCAUUUAAAUAAUUUAAAAAUAUGUCUUCAAUUAAUUUUAAUGAAACAAAGCAUGAUUUUUUUUUAAUUUUUUUUUCUUUACCAAAUAAAGCAUUAUUAUAAUACGUUGAUUAAAUUUUCAUCAUGUCUCUCAAGAUUUGGAUUAAAUAUACUUAGUUGUCAUAAAUUUGAAAUUUUAUUUAAUGUAUUUUUUAUUUUAAAUUAAAAAGAUGAAUGCAAAUAAAAAAAAUAUGUAUAUUUUAUAAAAUUUUAAAUUAAACGAAGGAUACGUGUAUUUAACCAAGGUGAAUGAAAUUAAUCCAAAUACUUUUUGGUAACUUGCAAAAUAUCUUGACGAAAUCAUUAUGGCAGGCAUCGUACAAGCUCAACCCUUGUCGCCUUGCUAGAAAUAGAGAAACAAAAAGACCCCCAAAUUGGGUUGCAUCCUAAAUAUGAAGAAGUGGUAACAAAGGAAGAAAAAAUGCUGUGUUAUUGAAUAGUUAAUACAUUGAACAUGAUAUGUUACAUAGAGAGCCAGAUUAAUCCUAGUGGAAUUCCACUGUCACGAUGGUAACCUAGGGUUAUGUUUGGUUAUUGAAAAUACCAAGAAAAGAAAAAAAAAUAUAAAGGAAAAUAAUUUUUUCAUUUUUGAUUGUCUUAUAAAAGAUAUAAAAAAAAAACAAAUAUAAUUAAAACUAAUUAAAAAUUUAGGUAUUUUUAAAUUAUUUAAUUUUUAUAUUAAUGAGCGAAAAUAAAUAAAAUAAGUUUAAAAUAACAAAAAAAAUAAUUUACCGAUUUUUAAUCUAUAUUUUAUUUUACUUUUUCUUUGUAUUUUUUUUUUCUUAUAUUUUCCCUCAAAUUUUCUGAAUCAAACAUAGCAAAAAAGGAGCUACCCCUUUCGAAAGAAACUCCCAAGAAUUUCAAAGAAACCUGCUGAGAUAAUGAAUGAGGGAUCACUGUCGGUAAACAGUAUCCAUUCUUUUGGGAGGACUUUCAAACUGAGAAGUUGUUUUCAUGACUUGGAAACAAAAUUUUGAGCUCUAAGGGGGUCUGUAUUUGGGCCCUAAAAUUCAAUCCAUCAAUCUGAAAAAUGCUUAGGAUAAUGAUUUGAUUUAGCCACAAUCACUAAACAAAUUCCAGAGGAAAAUUUCGCUACUCAUAGGUGGCUGAUUCUCAUAAAAAGACAUCGUGGUAGGGUGUCUCAAGUGCAGGCUCACCAUCAACUUGCUGCCCUUUUUAGAUUAUUGUAAAAUGAUUUCACAUGAAGCCCAAUGCAAAACUUUGAAAGAAAAGGUUGGUGGAGACGUGAAGAAUAUGUAACCCAUAGGCCAUAACUAGUACCGAAGAUUAUUGAACAAACAUUCAAGGUUUUUGUAUAGACGAAACUGAAAAGAAUGUGUACCAGACUCAGGCGUUCAGAUCAGAUGAUGCCGUAAUGUGGAUUGUGGAGGAGCAUUGUGCAGACAGAUAAUGAGAUUCUGAAAGCGAGGCCACUGAUGGGCCCUUGGAAGGGGGGCGUGCCUUCAAAAUUAUAUAUAUAUAUAUAUAUAUGUCAUUGAAAAUUGGAAGCAACUUUUCUUCUUAAGUUAUUUUAAUCGAAGAAGAAACAAAAAGUUAAAAACAUACAUUAUUCUUCCUUCUUACGAGGUUUCCGGGUCUAAAUUACUAUGGUCUCUGCAACUGGCGUCGUUUUCUCUCCCCUCUCUCUAUUUUCCCUUUAUUUUUUCACUUUUAGAAAGAAGCAUCCCAUCAAGAAUCUACUACAACCCUACGCUUCCAUUUUGAUUUAGAAAGUUAAAAAUAAGUUUAAGUUAAAAAAAAAUAUUUUCUUAUAUAAUUAUUUAAACUUAUUUCUUUUCCUUUUUAUAUAAAGAAACAAAUAUUUUGCAAAUAAAUAAAUUUCUAAUUAUUUUCAUUAACAUAAUAAUAAUAUUUUUCAUAUGACUUUAAUCACAAUUUUUUUUACCACUUGUCCAAGGCGGUGAGAGGUGAUAAAAUGUAUUAAAAAAACGAUUAAAUUGCAUUAGGUAUAGAAGUUUUGUGCUUCAAUUAUCACUUAUAAAAAUAAAAUAAAAAUAGUCAAAUUUGAGUGUGCAAGUUGGUAUUCGUAUGUAGAAGGAAUUGGGGGAUUUGGGGGUCCUAACAAAUUUGAUAUGAUUGAUGGAAGGAAAUGAUUAUUAUAGGAUAAAGUCCGAAUGAAACGCUGACGAGGGGGGAAAAACAACAGUGGCAAUGCACUAUCCACAGAUCCAUGAUUGAUUUAUGUUAGCAAUAAUGAAUUAUUUUGACUUUGAUAACCUUGGUUAAGAGAAUUUGGUCUUGUUAUUAUCAUUUUUUCAAAAAAAAAAAGUGUAGGUAACUAGGUAGUUGAUUUAUUAGAAUUUAGAAAUGAGGAUCCCCUCCUCCUGCAAGAGCCGUGACAGACAUGCCUGCUUUCUUGCCAGAUUAUACCAAUGUGCCCAAAUAAUCCCCCAUCUAUCAUCUCUGCACCCUGGAACACGUCACUCCCUCCUUUGAGCAAUAAAAUAUCUCUUUUAUUUUCUUUUGAACCACUCUUCUAUUUCUUUGUACCAGACUGGACCCAUUUAAAUUCUUCGCUACGCUGUUCCCAAGGACUACGAGAAUCAAAAUAGCAAAAUUCUUGAAUCAUUUUAAUGGGUUCAGAAACCACAUGUUUCUCUAGAUCAUAAGAGGAAAAUCUUUUUGGAUGGUGUUUGUGUUGUGUUGUGUUCAAUAUUAAAUACUCAAUUAAAUAAGCUAAAUCAAAUAUCACAUGAAAAAUAAUCAAAUUAAAAAUAGGGAGAAUUAUGUUUUGAGGGUAGAUGGACCCCAAAUUAACAAAAGGUUCAUGUAACUCUUCAAAUUGAGCCCAGACCCAAUGAAAAUAUGGAAAUUGAGUUGAAGUAUAUCAUCAUUCAGUAUUUCCAAAAAUGUCCUUUGUUGAUUUUGAGAAAAAAAUUAAUAUUUUUGAAAAAUAUUUUUAUGUAAUUUAAUAUUUUUUUAAAUACUUUUAUUUAAUUUAAUAUUUUUAAAAAAUAAAUUUAUUUAAUUUAAUAUUUUAAAAAAUAUUUAAUUUAAUAUAUUUUUUAAAUACUUUAAUUUAAUUUAAUAUUUUUGAAAAAAAUUUUAAUUUAAUAUUUUUGAAAAAAAAAUUAUUUAAUUUAAUAUUUUUUAAAACUAUUUUUAUUUAAUUUAGUAUUUUUGAAAAAAAAUUAUUUAACUUAAUUUUAUAAAAUAUUUUAUAUGUGUUCUUAAAGGGUAUAUUUGUCCGUUACUAUUUCAUAUCCUUCAACUCAAUUUAAAGAGUUAUAUGGACCUUUUGUUAAUUUGGGGACCCAUCUACCCUCAAAAGAUAAUUCUCCCUUAAAAAUAUAAAUUUAAAUAUGACAUAAUUAUUAAAUAUGUUAGAUCUUGUAUGAGUUUAUAAGAUUUAUGUUUCAAAAUAACAUGUUUAUAAUUCAUCUAUUGAUUUAUAAUCAAAUUUUAAAUAAAUUAAAGUUAUUCAAGUUAAUAAAUAUGAUUUAUGUUAUAAAGACUAACUAAAAAAUAAUUUAUUAAUUAAACGGAUCCUGGUCAAUAAAAAUUUGAUUUAAAUACGAUCAUACUUAAUCAAAACUUAGGUCAAAUUGUAUUGAUAAAUUACAUCAAAACCUUGUUGUGUUCAAUAUUUUAUAUUAAACUAUUUUUUAAUAAAAUUAUUUUUAUAAAUAUAAUAUUACAUCAUUUGGAGAAACAAAAUAGUAUUAUAUUGAUUUUACAUAUAAAGCAACCAGUUAACCCCUCAUUAUUUUGAUCCAUUUCACAUCCAUAUCAUUCUCAUAAUUUUUUUAUAAUAUAUUAACAUGAUGGACGGUAAUUGAGGGUAGAAAAAAAAGAUGAGAAGAAUAAAAUAAUGUGAAUCCUCUCUAAAUGUUACAUCUUCUGACAAAUGAAGUCUAUAGAAAUGUGUAAAAAAAAAAAAAACACUUAAUUGUGAGGUUCACUUGAUUUAGCAAAAAAUUAAUAUUUUAUUUGUUGUGUGAUUUAAAAAUAAUAUUUUAUUUUUAAAAAUAAAAAAUUAUUUUUAAAGUUUUUUAACACUAUUUUACUAUUGUUCUUUGAAAUAAUUUUUAAAAUUAAAAUGAAAUAACUAAUAAUUUUUAGAUAAUAAAUUAAAGUUGUUUUUAUUAGAUUUUAAAAAUAAAAGAAAAAUAUAAAACCAUUUGAUCAAAUUUUUUUAAACUUAUUUUUAAAAGGUUUUUUUUUUUUUUUUUUUUUUUCUAUCCUAAGUUAAAAGAUAAAAAAUAAUUUUUAAAGAUAGGUUACGAGCAAAUGCCACAAACUUUUUUCUUCUCUUUCCCUUGUUCGGAUAGAAGUGAAAAAUAUCCUCCCAUGGAUCGACAUUACGUGAGCCAUCACCAUUCCCCAACUGCAAUUCAACCGCCAAAGCUGAGGUGUCAUUAUUAGUUUGAACAAAAGUCAGCAUUGUCCACGUGGUGACAAGCGGAACUGACCCAACUUGCAAGGCAAAAAAAUAAAUAAAAUAAAAUGAAAAAAUCAGAUCACCAUUAUGACGUCAGUCCAAUUGCUGACCUGGCCGCCGUCCCCCAUUUGACCCACGUGUUCAUUUAACCCAUUCGCCGUAUGCCGUGGCUCCCCACCCAUAUGGCCAUAUCUGCCAUUUAUUUUAUCCGUUGCCUCCAUUCGGUUUUUGGAUUUUACCCAUUCGCCCUCGUCUAUUCCCAUUUCCGUAUUUGCCCACCAAGGAAAUUCAAUUCCCAUGCUUUUGUUUUACAUUCAAAUCCUCCCCCCUCUAUAUAAAGGAGGGAGUAGGGCUUGAAAGUUUCUCAAGCCAACAUGGACUGUUGAGAGUGAAAGACAGAGGAGCCACAAACAAAUAUCACUCACUCAAACCAAAGCCAAAACCAAUACCGAAUUCAAUUCAAAUGACUUCUUUCUCUCUCAUCAAUUCCCUGAAUUCCGAUUCCGAUUUCAAUUUGUUAUCGGAUUCUUUUUCCUGGGAAAACUCCCUACCUUUCAAUGAAAACGACUCCCAGGAGAUGCUCCUCCUGGGCAUGCUGGCCAGCUCCACUCAGGAAACCUCAGAAACAGUUUCUUUGAAUCGAGUGAAGGAGGAAGAAGUGACUUCCCAGGAAAAUCCCGAGAAGGAGAAGUCAUACAGAGGCGUUAGGAGGCGGCCAUGGGGGAAAUUCGCAGCAGAAAUAAGGGACUCGACCAGGCAUGGCAUAAGGGUGUGGCUGGGAACAUUUGACAGUGCAGAGGCAGCUGCUCUGGCCUAUGAUCAAGCUGCUUUUGCGAUGCGGGGCCCUGCGGCAGUCCUCAAUUUCCCGGUGGAAAGAGUGAAGGAAUCGAUGCAGGAGAUCAAGUGCAUCUUGGAGGAGGGGGGCUCACCAGUGGUGGCCCUCAAGAAGAGGCACUCUAUGCGGAGAAAAAGUCCUUGCAAGAAACAUAAAAGUGAAGAGGUGAGGUUAGAAAAUGUGGUAGUGCUGGAGGAUUUGGGUACUGAAUACUUGGAACAGCUCCUCACUUUCUCUGAGACCUCUAGUCCUUGAUCAUCAUCAUCCAUCACCUGGAUAGCUUCUUCUCUUUGCUCUGUUUCUUACUUUUCUCUCUCUCUCUCUCUCUCUCUCUCUUUUUUUUUUAUGUAAUUUUUCUUAAUGUAUUUUUGGAGAUGGCGGGGGUGUAGUGGUGGCAAUUAUCCAUCUAGAAUUUUUCAAAAGAUAUGUUCUUUUGUUUCUUUGUAUAAAGUUGAAAAGUGGGGAUCAAUUGUGAUGGUGCUCUAUGUUCAUCCACCCAAUUUAUAUAAUCAAGGUGAUUAAUGUUUUUUGAUAUCAACAAUUUGUGAAUGACAUAGAGAGAGAGAGAGAGAGAGACCUUAUUUUCUACACUCAUUACGGUGGUUUCCAUUUGGGGAAGGAAAAGGAAAUGGCUAAGAAUGUUACCAAAAGAAGUGGGGUGGCUUUCAUAUGCGUGGUGGCAUACUUGCAUACAAACUUUUCAAUUGUGUUCUGCAUGCCACUCGGGUCAAUUUCAUUUCUUUUACUCCUAGUAGCCUAAUUGGAUUUCCUUUUUCUCAUGAGACAUCAAAUAAAUUUCAUUUUUUUAUAUUUAAAUAGUUAGGUAAGUUUGAUAGUGAGUUAUAUUUUAUACAUUAAUUCAUCUUUUAGAAUGUUGUCUACAAUAUAAACAGUGUAAUUAAUUUCAUCAUUACAGAACAGUCAUCUUAUAAAAUAACAUAAAAAUUAUUGGAUCACUUGUAUGGCACCACUGAUUUGGACUUGGUAUGGCUCUGUUUGGCUUCAUAGAAAAAAUUUGGACCCAAUUUGAAUGUCUUGCAUAAAAAGAGAUACGUCCCACUUUGAAUGAUAUUGAAGAAAAAAAUUUCUGAUGAAGAAUAUAUUGUUGGCAGGGUCAUGCAGGCCAAUAGGGAAACGAUAAAUUCAGAAGAAUGAGUCCAAACCAGUGGGCUUGAAAAUUAAGAAGAGAAUUGCUGUAUAAAACAAUCAUUUCUUAAUCGAGUUCACUUUCUGAAUAAUCGUCACUUUGAGAAUGCAUACUUAGGAAGAUGAUGAUCCUUAAUGGGAAUAAUCAAAGGCAUCAAAAAAUUGUUCUGGAACAAUUCUUGAUUGUCUCCAGUAAAAUUCAAAGUCAAAAGUCAAAAGUCCAGUCGGUCAACACCAAACCAGGCCAGUCCAAAAGACAUUAAUUUGCAAUCUAGAAUCUAUGAUGAGGUGGCGAAAUCAAACCUUGGCUUUUCACCAGGGAAUGGUACUCUGAAUUUGGUCAGUUCACUGUUUCGAGUGAAUAGGGUGUAGUAAUUAGUAAAUCAUAUUUUAGAUUUGUGUCACAAGUUACAAGGGAUAUGGGCUGACGUUCAAUUUUGGCGACAAUUUGUGGGCCCGUAUAUUUGUUGAGAUGUGGAAAUUGGGUGUGUGCUUUUUUCUGCUACCACAUAAAUAUAUUUCUUUGAAUUGAAGAGUGUUUCAGACCAUUUUUUUUCAAGUCACAAAUGGACAACUGAUUGAGAUUGUAUUGGUGAGAGUAGGAGUUUAUUUUGGGCUGGUUGAGCGAAGUUGAAAGUCGAGUUGGACCUAACCCUUGAAUUCAGCAGACUACAGUCCGAUCCUGUAUUUUGGAUUUAGGGAACCUUCUUUCCCAGAAGCUUCGUCUGGGUUUUAAAGUCUAAAUGUGGCUACUCUUAAACAUUGGAGAAAGGAUGAGCGUUCACAAGCAAAUGGGUAAUUGUGGAUGGUUCAAGGACCUGGCCAGCUGGUCUUCAAGUUUGGAUGCCGGUUUGGGCCUGAGAGAGUCUUUGCAAAGUGACUUCACUUCAGCCUAUGAGAUCAAGAUAUCAUGGUGAUGUCCGAUCACUUAGGUUUCAUUUUCACCUCGGAUUACCGUUACCAUGUUCAUGAAUAAAAAUAAAUAAAUAAAUGAAGCCUUAUAGAGAAAUUAAUGAAGUGAGCUAUACAAGCAACUGGGCCAGGAGCCUACAAGGCAGAAAUUCCCUGCCCUAGACUAGGCCGAAUAAAUUAGAUGAAUGAAUUGGGGAAACCUGGGCCAGCCACACAUCCUCCUGAAGGCUGAUGUCGAACUCGCUUACGAGGAAUGGACAUGGGAGAUUGGGCUGGGACCAAAUAACCAAUUGACAGCCCUAUCCUUGUGGCAAGACGUCAGUAAAAUGGUUCAUUCUGAUUUUACGCUGCCAUUCAAUUUAAUUUUAAUUUUUGUUUAAAGCGAUGUACAAAUUGAAUGGUGUCUAGUCACUUAAAGAGUGGUUCAUAAUACACUUAAUUUAAACAAAAAAGAAAUUAUUAGAUAGGGGAUUCUCCAAUAAAAACCACCCCAUCUUGUCAGCAAGUCCGGAAACUUCCUUCACUUAGGGCGUAUUUGUUUUUUUAACUUUAAUAUUAAAGAAAGUUGGUUAAACCUUAUGACACUUUUAUAUUAUUUUAUGAAUUUUUUUUAAUUUUUAUUUUAAUGGAAUUUUAACUUUAAUACAAGUUGGAGUAAUUCUUAUCUUAAAAACAAAUCAAAAUUACUUUAAUUUUAUAUAGAAAUAAACUUACAGUAAAUUUACCAUGAAAAUUUCUAAGUCAAAUACACCAUAAGUGCUAGUAUUUUAUAAUAUUUAGAAACAUGUUAAAUUAUUAUUAUUAUUUUUUAAAAUUAUUAGUUUUCAUAUUAGUUUUAGGGAAACUUGUGCUUUAGGUCUUUUAUUUGCAAAUAAUAUGGUUUUCAAAUCCUAAGAAUAGAAAAUAUGAGAAUCAACUGUUAAUGUGGAAAAUAAUAUCAAUUUUGUGCAAUCUCUAUUGACUCAUUUUUUUGUGCCUAGAUUGCCUUCACCCACUUCCAUGUCAACAACCACAUUAAUAGAUUGUUUUUUUUUUAUAAAACAAAUAAUUAUUAUGUUUAAAAUUUUGGGGAAACUCUCUAUCUCUCUUACUUCUUCACUACAUCCGAGACCCAUCUUCCUUAAACGUUUGCCUCUCAUUUUGCCCUAACCCCAAAUCUCAUAAAUUUCUCAUUUUCUUGCCUCAUUUGAAAUAUGAAGAUGACCGAUUCUCAAACAUCUCUGUCUCUCUCUUCACGUUUUGACCAGUCUAAUUGGAAACCCAUUUUCCAAAAACCUUCUUUCUUUCAUUUUGCCCUAACCCCACUAUCUCCCUCUUCAAGACCUAAUCACCCAAACUCGAUAUCUAUCUUCCCAAAACCUUCAAGCAAACUGAACUAGACCCAUAUCUUCUUUUUUCAUCAUCAAAGGUGAAAUUUUUUUAAGGCUUUUGGAAACCGAAUUGGAGCUUUCCCUUCUUCUGGGAUUAAUCAUUCGCAAGUGAGUUUUCCAUUUAAGGCUUUGUUUGGCUGUUGAAAUCUUGGGAUCAAAGGUCUUUUAUUUUCAGGUUUCUUGUAUUUUGCUUUAUUUUCUUGUAUAUAACAAUAAUCAUUGUAACAUAUGCUAGUAGUUACCCUUGGUGCAACUUUACAUUUCCAAAUACCCUAAAGUCCAAAGCUUUUAAUUCCCUUUUCAAAGCUUUCAACUUUGAAAGCAGACUAAACCAUAAGAACUAUGAAACUUAUAUCUCUAUCACCACUAAUUAAGCAUGUCUAUGAAUCCUUCCACUUUAAGUCACUUAUUCUCAAACCAAGAAGGGCUCCUCUCAUUCUCACCCCACCUCAUCUAAAUGAGGGAAAUGAUCAAUUGCAGCCAUGCUUUGCACCAAAUUAGAGAAGUGAUCCUCCCAAUCAUCCAUUACCAAAAAUUGAUCAUGCUGAUGAGAUCAUAAGAGUCUAUUCGGAACUCCCAGUUUACUUGCCUCUUAUCUCAGGAUCCUCCAUUACCCCCUGUCUUUCCAACAUCAAAUCAACUUGCAAACAAUUCCUUUGUAGAUAAAAUGUUUUUAAUAUUGCAAAAGGGGACUUAUCAUAAUGGUUGAAUCGAUUUAUUUGAUAUAAUCACUCAAAUUCAAGCUUAAAAUUGAUCAUAAUAAAAUGUUUUUAAUAUUGUUAAAAGGAGAUUAUAAUGGUUUUAUUUGAUAUCAUUACUAAAAUUCAAGCUUUCAAACAUGCUCUACAAAGAAGUUCUAAAAGACUACAAGAAAGAGUUUCCACUAAAGAAAAACAAUGAAACCAUUUCUACUAAAGACAAACAAUGAAACCACAGAUGCUUUGUGAAAUAUGUACCCGCACAAUCCAACAAACUUUAGAAAUUCACAAACACUACCUAGAAUUUUUGCUGACCAGCAAAAAAUUUAUGCAAUUUAAUUCUUAUUGUUAUUAUUAUUUUCAAUGUGAACAAAUAUGAUUGAAUUAUGAAGUAUUUGGCCAGAAGAGGAUCUUGCCUAAUUAUAGUCAUUAAACAACCAUUUAUACCAUAGCCUCUAGACUUUAAAAAGUUUAUAAAACUCAAGGGCUUCCACCCAAUUUCUAGAUAUCUCCAUAACAUUCUUCUGACUAUUAGAAAGCAAUUACCACUUUAAUUUUUCAUUUCAUGAGUGUUCAAUUCAGAAAAAGACCAGGAUCGAACUUGCGAUCAUGCAGUCGAAAAUCCACCUGUGCAUGAAACUAUUGCCUCACGAUUGCAAACUCAAGUUGGAGUCCAGUAACAACUCUAGGUUUGCUGAUGUGCUCCAUUUGAAAUAAAGGAACUAAAGAAUACUUUAUAAAGAUUAAUUACCUUCAUAUUUUAGGUUGGGGUUAAGGCAAAAUGUGAUAGAUUGAGAGGAAGAAAAUAUAUCUUGUUCAGGAAGCCAAUAUUUUGGAGUUCACCUUUCCAUUCGAGUCCACUCUGCUAUAGCAAAAUCAGAGUCACAACUAUGCCUCUUUAAGCUAUCCUUUAAUUGGAUGAAUUGCAGAUUUGGUUGCUGAGAAAGUGGAUAAGAAAGAAAAAUGCAUACUGUAGCUUGAGAUUAAGAGUUUGUUUUCUAAAAUGAGAGAAAGGGAAAGAGAAAAAAUGCAUAUUGUAGCUUGAGAUUAAGGGUUUGUUUUCUAAAAUGAGAGAAAGGGGAAGAGAAAUGUUCGACAACUUUGAGAUGACAAAUUUUUAGAUUUGGAAAAUUUGAGAUGAGUCUCAGGUUUUUUUUUUUUUUUUUUUGUCUUUGUCUUUGUUUUUUUUUUUUUUUUUUGUUUUUUUCCCAAAAACAACCUGUUAAUGUGGUUGUUGACAUAGAAGUGGGUGAGGGCAAAAUGGGCAUAGAAAAAAGAGUCAACACAAAGUGCACAAAACCCAUAUUAUUUUCCACAUUAAUGACUGAUUCUCAUAUUUCUUGUUCUUGGGAUUUGAAAACCAUAUUAUUUGCAAAUGGACCUCCCAAAGCACAGGUUUCCCUUAGUUUUAUGUCUCCAUCUACAUUUUACAUAUAAAUAGAUUAUUUUAUAAAAUUUGUUUUGUAGAUAUAUUAGUUAAUAAUUAUAUAAUUAAUGAUAUAGAAAACAUAUAAAAAUCAUAUUUAAAAAAGAUAAUUACAUAUUCCUCAACAAUCCAUCCCAAGAAUUCGAGGUUGAGUUGAAAACAUGUAGAGUCUUUGAUGUUAUUAUAAUCAUAUCCAACACAUAUGAUUAUUGUUUAUGAGAUAUUAUUAGAAAGUUUGUCUUAAAAUAAUUGAUUUAUUACCCACCUUUAGCAAAUGCCCAUUUUUGCGUCUUUCAAAAUUUUCAUUUUUUUUUUGUUUAAAAGAAGUAUUGUAAAGAAUGAUGAAAUAAGAAAUUUGUUGAGAAAGUGUGAGUAAAUAAUUUUACAUAAAAAGAGAUUUAAUACUUGAUAAAUAAAAUAAUAAAAUCAUGAUUUCUAGUUGUAUAGGGCCGGGUGGAUGGAGUGGCUAAGAUGUAAUUCUUGAAAUAGAGGAGACAACAUCAAUGUAUAAAAGUUUAACAGAGAAGGAAAGUGUGUUUGAAUGACUUUAUUUUCUUCAUUUAAAGUUUUGACGAUGAGUGUUUAUACAAGAUAAAUUUUCAAAUGAUAGGACUCCUAUUUACAUGGAGUUUGUGAUAUACUAUGAUUAUACAAAUUUAAAAUUCAAACAGAUUCAUGAGUUGAUAGGAGUCUGCUCAAUACGCCCCUUCAAAAUGGUGGGAGAUAGCACACCAAUCUUGACUCGAAGGGCCUAAACUCGUGCAGAAGAUGAGGGCUUUGUUAGAGCAUCGACAAGUUGAUCCGUGGUUGACAUAUGGGACACCUUGAGCUCACCUGAUUAAACCUUGUUUCAAACAAAAUGAAAAUCAAUCGCCGAUGUGUUUCAUGGAGAGUGAAACAUGGGAUUUGCACAAAGAUAUGUUGCACCCACGUUAUCACAAGAGAUAGGAGGUGGUGAUAAAUUUGAAACACUAAGUUUUGAGAGAAGAGAAUUAACCCAAAGAACCUUUGAGGCUGUAGAGGCCACGACGUGAUAUUUCGCUUCAGUGGAAGAGCGUGCUAUGAACUUUUGUUUCCUCGAUGACCAAUACACAAGAUUGUGACCAAGAAAAACAAUGGGAGCAUUGGUGGAGGAUCUGACAUAAGGAUUCCUUGCCCAUUCAACAUUCGAAUAUGCAUGUAGAUUGAUGGGCGAUUUCUUAUGCAAGAACAGACCAUGCACCAUUGUGCCGACUAAGUAUCUAAGCAAUCUUUUAACACAAGACCAAUGUGUUGAUGUUGGAUGGUGCAUAAAUUGAGAUAAUUUAUUCAUCAAGAAGGUGAUGUCAGGGCUAGUAAGAGAGAAGUAUUGAAGGCUUCCAACAAUUGACAUAUAUUUAGUGGGACCAGGAAAAGAGGUGUCAUCACACAGAUUUGGAACAUUGUUGAGGAACAUCAAUGAUUGAACUGGUUUGGUAGCCACCAUUUGUGUUUUCUUAAGAAGCUCUCGAAUGUACUUGAGAUAAAAAUAAUCCUUUGGAAGUAUGUAUCAUUUCAACACCAAGAAUAAAAGAUGAAGUCCUGAGAUCCUUAAUGGAGAAUUUGACUGCUAAUUGAGAGAUCACGCGAGCACGAAAAACAUUAUUGUUACUUGUUAAAAUAAGAUCAUCAAUAUAAAUAAGUAGGUAAACAAUGAGACCACUCUUUUUAAAAAUGAAGAGGGAUGUCUCGGUUUAGGAGUUGACGAAGGCUAUUGAGAGGAGAAAUUGGCAAAGUUCAUGAUACCAUGAUCGUGGAGCUUGUUUAAAGCCAUAAAAAGCCUUACAAAGUUGGCAAAUGUGAUGAUGUGUGUAUUCGUGAACCCAGGAGGUUGAAUCAUGUAAACAUCUUCAUGAAGUGUCCUAUGCUAGAAUGCAUUAUUAAUGUCCAAUUCAUGAGUUGAUAGGAGUCUGCUCAAUACAAUGUGGGAGUGUGAUUUCAAAAUUAGGGUAAUUUCGAAAUGGAUUUUGUAUUCACAAGUUGAAUUUCAAAAUUAUUUUGAAAUGGUCUUUUAACUUUAAGCAGUUGUGUUCAAAAGGUCAUAACUUCUUCGUUUCAAUUUUGAUUUACACAUUGUUUAAAACAUUGGACUCUUUACUUCCCGAGCUUCAAAACGAUAUAUAGUAUGCUCAAAAAUGACAUCAGGAUUGGUUCAAAUUUCAUCUUGAUAUUAGAGUACAUGUUGUGAUUAGAUUUUGAGUUCCAAAUUUCCAUGUAAACUUGAUUGCAUUUGCUUCAAACCUCCUUCAUUAUGGUUGCUUGCCCUCUAUCUCACUUUGCAACAUUUGUUACUAGUAUUUUAUGUCCAUGACUUACUCAUUUCAACCUUUCUUGGAUUCUUCAUGGUUCACAAAUUAUGGAUUCUUCAUGGUUCACAAAUUGAGUCUUUCAAUUAUGCAUGUUUAACUCCUAUUUCCUUGGUUGAUAAUGACUUUUACACUUAUCAUUUUCUUUUAUUCUUUAAACCUGAAUUUAGACUUACAAAAAAAAGUUAGAUCCAUAACUAGGGUCUUAGCAUCAAUUUGAGUUAAGUUGGAUGAUUUGAAAAUUUUAUAUUACAUAAAUCAUAUCAUACAUGUGCCAUUGGAGUGCACAUUUUGGCUCUAAUCAUGUUCCAACCCAUUGUUUUACUCUUGCAUGAAGUAUGUGGCCAUUGAUUUUAAUUUUAUUUGCGAUUAGGUUCAAAAUGGUGCUUUUGUGUUGCUCAUGUGUCAUCAGAAGAUCAACUAAUGGAUUCUCUAACAAAACUACUACAUCAUAGUCAUUUUUUUUUUUCUUAAGACCAAGAUUGAGAUCUCCAAUCGGAGCCAACUCCAUCUUGGGGGCAUGUUAGUGAAAGAUAAAAUUUAUCUUUAAUUUAAAUAUUAAUAUUUAUCAGUUAUUAGUUUUAAUUAGAGUAAAAGAUAGAGUUUAAAUUGGAGUAGGAGAUAAACUUGUGUUUGAACUAGAAUAGAAGAUAAAGUAUAAAGAUUUAUGUUUGAAUUAGAAUAAAAUAUAAAGUUUGAAUUAGAGUAGAAGAUAAACUUGUUCUUUAUUUGUAUAUAAAUAUUCAUCAAUUCUUGAGAAGAAGAUUAUUUCAUAGUUUUUCUAUCUUCUUUUUUCUUCAUACAUAUCUGCAAGAAAUUGAAGAUUUCAAGUAAAAUAUUUUCUGUUUUAAAUAGUGAAAAAAGCUAGAAAUUCACUUUGUUAUCUCUUGGGGUAAAUUGACAAGGUUUAACGUUAAGAAGGUGAAUUAUUUUUUCAGAAAAACUGAAGUAGCUAGGAUAUCUGGCCAGUUGUGAUCGAUAAAAAAGUUGUAAAAUCUCUCAUAUACUAAACAGGUUUUGGAUGUUGGUAUGGUAAAUCCAUCUGCAGUCAUUCGUCAUCUCAUCUAGUGAGAUGUUUGGGAGGUGGUGACCGCCGGAUUGGGUUUCAUUUGGUUAAAUCUGUCAGUGGGUUGGCUACUACCCGAGCCUCUUGCUUUGGGGGAGGUGGGUUCUAGAUAUAAUGUUCAAACCAUUUUAGUUAUCAUAUGCAUGACAUGUAAGCAUAAUCUCUUUAUCACUUCUUCAAUGGGAGUUCAUGGUUAGGAAUUGACUUCUUUUCUUCUGGGAUGCUUGGCAUGUAAUGGACAAAGUUACUUUUAUAUCGAUCGAAUUUCUAGUAUUAUAGUGAAGACUUACCCUUUUGACAUUUUAUAUCGAAUUAUAGAAGAUGAAAGGGACAUACAUGCAAUCGACUGACGCUUUAGUGAAUAUGCUGAAAAUAUGCUGAUGCUGUGGAGAUCGUAUGAGGACAGAGGAAAAAGAUAGAAAUGGAUAUAUAAUUAGACCUAGGUUUUUAUUAAAUGAGAUGGGGAACAUAGAGUGAGGGAAAAUCAAAAUUUUUGGCUGCAGUUCACAUUGGUGAUAUUUUGGAUUGACAAAGACUAACGACUUUUCUAUUUUUCUUUUCGGCCUGACUGGAUAGUUGGACAUGGACAAUACAGAAUCCACAGAAGGAUUGUUGGGACCGCUGAAAAUUAGCUAGAAGAAGCUGAGGAAGUAGUCUACGUAGUCAAAUACCAAACACAAAGAAAGAAAGAAAUGGAUAUCAUGGAUGCCUAGAGUUAUACUCCUAAUACCGUCACAGGUAUUUUUCUUUCCUCCUUUUUUUUUCUACGAUAAUUAGAGCAUUUCUCCUCCUCCUCCUCCUCCUCCCCCCACCCCACCACCAAAAAAUAAAAAAAUAAAUUAUUGCAAGUAACACUUCAAAUAUUAAUUUAUACAUUCUAAAGUAUAUAUUCAUGAAAUAACUUGAGUAUCAUACAUUAGUUCUCAAAAAAAAAAAAAAAAAAAAAAAAAAAUUACUGGAAGAGAAAAGUUUAAGAAAACAUAAAAAUAUUCAACUACUAUUUUAAAGAGAAAAUUUAAUUUUUACACUAUAAAUUUGAAGAGAACUUUUACAUGCAUCUUAUAUAAACUACCAUUUUUUGCUAAAAGGCUUAAAUUUGUCAAAAAUACCCCUUAGGUGCUUAACGUUCUGGUCAUAAUAUAAUUGGCAUCUUUUCUCAAACAUAAGGCCUGUGUGUGGGAACAAGAUUUAAUGUUAAUGAGCUUCGCCACCGACAUUUAGUUCCAGAAAUCAUUAUUUUAAUAGAGUGGGCUCAAUUUACAACUUUAAUUAAACUCUAACCAACUGCAUUGUGAAAUGAAUAUGUUUCUUUCGUGGUGAAUCCAAUGAGUUGGGAGUCAAACUUUGCUUCAUUGUGUAUAGAUGAAAUGUUAAGACUCCAUGUAACCUCAAACAUUUCCGCAAUNNNNNNNNNNNNNNNNNNNNNNNNNNNNNNNNNNNNNNNNNNNNNNNNNNNNNNNNNNNNNNNNNNNNNNNNNNNNNNNNNNNNNNNNNNNNNNNNNNNNUUCUUUCGUGGUGAAUCCAAUGAGUUGGAGUCAAACUUGCUUCAUUGUGUAUAGAUGAAAUGUUAAGACUCCAUGUAACUCAAACAUUUCCGCAAUGAGCGGGAGUUCUAAAUUUAAUAAUUGAAAUUGUCAGUGGAACCAGUGGACAAGAGUUGGUUUGUGGUUGACAAACUUAUCCGUUUGAUCUUUACUUGAACAGUUCCAGUGUGUGGAUGGGUACUGAUGAAGUGUGCGCAUUUAUUUUGAGAAGCCUGCUUGUUCGCAUAGAUUUUAACGACAUGAACAUUGUGGUAAGGUUAGAGAGUAAUGCGAAUGUAGGAGCUUAUAUUAGAAAUGACACAAACACGUAAAUAGAAGUAAUCUAUAUAUGAUAUUACUCAUGGACUACAAGCAAAGAAGUACAAUACAUGGAGUAAGUGAUGAAAUGAGCAUUCCUCACUACUACUGCUUGACUGAUGGAACAUGAUGCACGAGAUAGCAUAAGUAGUAGUAGGAAGCAGCUCUUAUUUGUGGCGUCGGUAUACAUCAUACUAGGUAGAUGGUUCAAUUGGCAUGGAUGGGUGGUGGAGCCUUGAAGUGCUUGUGAUGGGGAGCCCACGGCUUCUUCUCAGGAGUUGGUGGCUUCUUGUAUGGAGUUGAUGGAGGUGUUUCUACUGGAGGGUGGCCAGGGUAGUGACCCUGGGGUGGUGAAGGUUCUUUUGUCGGUGGUGGCCUCACUAUUAUUGGCGGUAGAGUUGGUGGCUUGGGCGUUGGCGGUGGUCUCACUACUCUUGGGGGUAGAGUUGGUGUCUUGUGUUUUGGUGGUGGAGGUGGCUUAACAGGAGUUGGUGGCUUGUAUUCUGGGGGUGGUUUCUCCACCGGAGGUGGCUUAUAAACUGGAGUUGGUGGCUUGUAUUCUGGGGGUGGCUUCUCCACUGGUGGUGGCCUGUAAACAGGGGUUGGUGGCUUAUAUUCUGGGGGAGGCUUCUCCACUGGAGGCGACUUAUAAACAGGGGUUGGUGGCUUGUAUUCCGGGGGUGGCUUCUCUACGGGAGGUGGCCUGUAAACAGGGGUUGGUGGCUUCUCCACCGGAGGUGGCUUAUAAACGGGGGUUGGUGGCUUGUAUUCUGGGGGUGGUUUCCCCAGUGGUGGAGACUUGUAAACAGGAAGAGGUGGUUUGUGCUCAUAUGGGGGUGGCUUGUGGUCAUUAGCAAGUGAGGGAGUGGUGAGGACCACCAAUCCAAGGAACAACACGAGUGAGCAAGCAGAAGACAUGUUUGGGCUCUGGUGAUGCACAAGUAGAAGAAAUGGGAACCAUUUAUAAUGCUUCGAGACCUUGGUUAGCACCAAAAUAUGUCAAAAUCUUGAUUACUUCAUUUCAUACAUAGAUUUAAAAUUAUUUCAAUCAACCAUGAUCCUUAAUUUUCUGGGUGGUCCAUAAAUGUAAUGGGGUCAAUUUGGGACCUAACAAGCUGAGAAGUUUGACAAUGCUGCAAGGCUUCAUCCGAAAGUCCGGGGAAGAAUAUUAGGAGUUACACUCCGUUUCCUUUUUUGGGUGCAUUUUUCUCCUUUAACAUUCUAUUCCCUUUUACAUUAGCAUUUGAUCUUAGCUCAUUUCAAGUACAAGUUUCUUGAACCCUAUACCAUUGUCAAAGUUGAGUAACCAUCUCUACUUUGCUCAAGAAACAUAAAAGACAAUGACAAUAAAGAAAAAGGAGAGAGACCAUACGUGACUUGGUUUAUAGGUGGCUUUGUGUUGACAUUUGAGUAUGGAAGCCGACAUGCAUCUUAGCUUCGAUUUUAAUUAAAUUUGUACAUUAGUGUCUGUGUCAUUCAUUUUGGUAUAAAAGGUCUCUUGAUUUCGUAAGUUUGGUAAGAACCGUUGAAAAUAGCAGUAGCAGCACAUGGUCCACUUUCUUUCACAAAAUAAUUUUAAAAGUUUAGAAGCAUAGGAGGUAACAUUAGUGGCCUUGUGGCUCAGCCACGAGUACUAUGUGGUGCUCGAGAAAUUGAGUUUAAUUUCCUUCCGAUAGUUCAUGAUAAGGUCCGUCACUGUCCUGAGACAGAUUGCGUUUUUUCUUUUUUCCUUUUUUAGUGUUUUAUUGACUAGCUAGGUGUGACUUUUCCUACUUUAAGGCACGAGGCAGAAAAGAAACUGGGAUUUAGUGCUUAAGAAGGCAAAUUUAAUUCGAUUUGGAUCUAAAAUUUGCCAGCAACAUGAGAUUUUCCAGCCUAUCGUUGCUCCACAUAUAGACAAGGCACUUGUAGAAGUGGCUUGUUUGUAGCCAUUCCCGAUAUUUGGACUCACUUGAUUCACCGGACACUUUGAUAAAAUUUAAUAUUUAUUAUUUAAUAAUUUAAAUUGAUUUAAAAUUAAAUUAUACCGAAGUUGUGAUUUAAAAAUUAUUAUUUAAUUCUUACUUUUAAAUAUGAAGAUUAUUUGAUAAAAAUAAUUUAAAAUUUAUUAUAAAUUAUCAAAUUAACAUAUUUAUCCUUAUAAAUUAUAAUUAAAACAGAAAAGGUCAAAUGAUUUGAGUAUCCAUAGAUGUGGUAAAAUAAUAAAAAAGAUUAUAAAAACAAUUAUGAUAAAUAAAGAUAAAAAGUAAAAUGAAUAUGUGAAUUUAAAGAAUAAAUUAAUUAUUUUUAUUUAUUACUUAAAAUUAUUUUUGACUUUAAAUUAUAUUAUUAAAUUAUUUUACCAAACAUACUUAAUUUAGUUAAUAAUUUAAAUUUAAUUUAAGUUAUUAAAUUGAUUCACCAAAUACCCACUUAAUCAAAGACUGAAGUAUACAUUAUUUGGCCAAAUGCAGCUAUUGAAAUUUAACUUUUUCCAAACUUAUUCAUUUUGUGGAAAUAUUUUUAGAAAUGAUUUUAAAAAUGCACUAUUCUGUGUGUUGAUUUUAUAUUUUGGCAUUAAUCCAACAUAGAAAACGGUUCUUAUUUUCGCUGUUAAAUAGGUACCAGAUCCUUAAUUAGUGCCGUGAAUCCGGCAGCUUCCAAUGAGUAAUUUGGACUUGGGUAUUGACAAUGUGUGGCCAUGCUUCUACUAUUUUAUUAUUCUUGAAACAUAUAUGAUAUAUUGGACUUUAUACAGGGAAAAAAAAAAAAAAAAGUCUUCACCAAAAAUGAUUCCUCCUAAAAAAUAGACUCCACAAACUAGGUUUAACAGGAAAAUGAUUCUAAUCUAGUAGUUUCCAGCCACAUGAGCAUUUACGUAACAAUAGUAUAGUUGAUAACGACUUUUAUUUUAUUUAUUUUUAAAUAGUUAAAGGGAUAAUUUUUGAGCUUAAAUUUUAUUUUUUUAUUUAGAAACAUUUUACUUUAUUUUUUAAUCAUAAUUCUAUUAUAUUAAUGUUUUAUUUUCUAUUUUUUAAUAUAUAAGGAGAUACUAAAUUUAUGUGAUUAUUUUUUAAAAAUUUAGUAUAUGAAAUUAAAUAAUUGGAUAUAUAUACAUAUAUCAUAUAAUGUUUUUUAAGUGUGAUUUUUGAACUUUUUAGUCAUUUUAUAAGUUUAAGCUUUUGAUUUUUUUUUUUAAACUUUGGUAUUUUUUAUUUUAUAUAAAACUAUUUUGAUUUAAUUUUAUUAAAAAAUAUUGGUAUUAUAAAUUAUUGUAUUAAUUAUUUUUUUAUAUUAUAAUGUAACUGGUAUAUACUAAAAAAUGUAUGCAAGUUCAAUUUAAGUUUCAAAUUAAAAAAUUUCAUUUAAAUAUUUAAUAACUUGUUCAUAAUAAAAAAUUAAACAACAUAAUACAAAUGAAAAGAAACAUAAAAGAAAAAGGAAAAAAUGGUCCUCUCUGUGUGUCACAUUACUAGGUCAUCCUCUUUUUCUAUGACCCUUACAAUAGAAUGGCAUAUUUGUCAAAUCUACUUAUGAAAGUUGGAAUGUUUCUACAUGUGUAGGGUCCAUUGGAACUAAUGGAGGAAAGGCUUAACGUCUAUGUAAAUCACAACGUUGCCUAGGUGGGCAUAGAUCUAGUUGUGUAACAUGAGAUGGUGUGAGAGUACAAUAUAUGCAUUGUAGUCUCUAUGGGAAGAGAGAUAGGUAAUGGUAGGGUGGUAGACGGUAGGGUGAUCUCUAAUAUAAUGACAUUUGAUGUGGUGGCUUCUAAGAGAGGAGAUAUAAGAGAUGGUAGAAUGACAUUUGGUGUAAUGGUCUCUAGUGCAAUGACAUGUGAUAUGGUGACCUAUAAAGAAGAGAUAUAGGUGAUGGUGAAGUGGUAUGUGGUGUAGUGACCUUUGAGAUAGAAAAUAGAGGUAAUGGUAGGUUGGCAGGUGGAGUGGUCUUUGGUGUAGUGACAUCAAUUAUAAAUGUCUCCAAGGGAGGAAAUAAAGGUGAUGGUAGGUAGUAAAUGUUGAGGUGGUCUUUGAUAUGUUAUGCUCUAAGAGAGAAGGUAUAGGUAAUGAUAAUAGGGAAUUUGACAUAGUGGUGUUGGAAAUAAAAAGUGAAAGUGACCGUAGAGGUGAAAGGGCAAGUGUAAAAGCCUCAAGUACGAAUGGAGUAAUUAAUGUGGAUGGUGCUAACAUAGUCUUAGGUGGAUACACAAAUAGUCAUAGUCAUCAACUAGCUUGCCCACCAUCUGUCUUUCUGCUAGUGAUAGGUUACAUCUUAAUAGUAAUGGCCAACAUAAGUGGUGUGGAUCCGAUUUUUUUACGUGUGUCCCCACUCAAUCGACAAGACUUAUUUUUUAUUAGUGAAAAAUUAAUUUUGGAAAAGUUGGAGUCACCACUUAUUUUAUUUUAUUUUAAAAAGGAAAGUAAAACAAGAAAGAGAACUCUAAAGAAGUGACUUCAUAGUUUUGGAAAAGUUAGUCUUAAAAAAUCCAAGUCUUGGUCCGGAGAUCAGGUUACUUAUUGGGAAGAUACCUCUAAGAGGUAAUACCCCUCUAAACCCUAAAGAAGUCUCUAAUGACUAAGUUGAGGAGAAUGUGGUAAUUAAUUAAUUGAUUGAGGGUACCUAGGUAGACUAAGGUGAUUUCAGAAUUAACAUACCAAGCUAGAAAGUCCAAUCAUGAUCAUAAAAGAGAGUCAAAGUAUGUACCUGAACUGCUUCUCAAACGCUAUCAUAAAACAUCAAAGUUAGUAUAGAAAUAUAACACAUAAUAUUUGUUUUAUCCAAGCAAAUAAAGCAUACAUCUAAGCACCCAAGAAUCACAUCAAGUAUGGAUAUAGUCAUCAAUAGCAUACGUGUCCAUAGAACUAUCGAAAGUAAAUGUGGAGGAGCGUAUCUGGACAACAUAGAUAACUUAUAAUGUGCUUCCACAAGACAUGGGGGUUAGAUAAAAGUUAUAAUAAUAAUUAGUAAAUGAAAGAAUUCUAGCAUGUUUGGUAUCUAAAUAACAUAGCAAAAAUGAACAAGAGUACACGAAAACAUCAAUUAUCACACGAGUCAUAUUGGCUAGUAUUUAAUCAAUAAACCAACAAUAAAUGACUAUAAACAUAUAAAAUGACAUAUUCAAAGAGACCCAAACAUAAAGAGCCUAGAACACAAGCUUACACUAAAUUUAGAAAACUAAAACAUGGAAUUUUAAAAGCAUAAAUUAGCAAACAAAUUGAUGGAAACUAAAUUUAGAUAACUUAAGAAUAUUUUUCUUAUCCUUCAAUUUAAAUCAGUAAGCCAACAAUAAAAAAUUAUAGAAACAUGGAAUAUCAAGAUCAAUGGGAUACCUAAACUAUAAUUUUUAAAAGAAAAUAAACUAAGCAUAAUAUCUACAAAGCAACUAAACUAACAUUUUUUUAAAAAUAAAUUAAACAUGACAUUAAUGGAGUAACCAAACUAAAUUAAAGUAAACUAAAAACAUUUAUGAAUUUUCAAACAUGGAAUCAGCUUUCUUAGUAAAUUAAAAUUAUUAAAAUAAAAUCUAAGCUUAAAAAUGAAUUAAAUACUAACUAAAGCAAAUCUAAAACCAAAUAUUUAACACAUAGGAUCAAUUAUAUUAACAAACUAAAAUUUUAUAAGAACACUUAAACCUAAAGUUGAAUUAAAAACUAACCAAUUUUUAAAACUAGAUCUUUAACCCAUAGGAUCAAUUAUAUUAACAAAUAAAUAAUAAAUAAUAAAUAAAUAAAACUCAAACCUAAAGAUGAACUAGAAAUGUACCAAAGUAAAUUCAAAACAAGAUCUUUAACACAUUAGAUCAAUUAUAUUGACUAACUAAAAAAAAAAAAAAAAAACACUCAAACCUGAAACGAUGUAUUAGAAACUAACCAAAGCAAAUUUAAAAUAGAGUCUUUAACACAUAGGAUCAAUUAUAAUCACUAACUUAAAUUACAAUUUUUGAAACAUGAACUAAUUAGUGUUGGAUUAAUUAAACUAAUUAACUAAAAAAAACUAUAAACUAGAAUACGGUGAAUCAAGAAUUCAAAUCAACAAACAUAAAAUAUGGGUACAAUGAAAUGAAAAUCUAUUAAACUAAUAAGACGGAAAUAUGACAAACUCAUGAACCCACAUUUUGAUCAACUAGGAAAUAGAAAUUAAUAGACCUGUAGCAUGGAUACAAUGAAAUGAGAUCAGUUAAAUUUAUUUGCCGAAAUUCUAAAAAACACAUACACUCAAAUAAGAUCUAAAUCUAAGACCAAGCAAAACUCAAACUUUCUCAAUCUAAUGCAAUGAAUCAAAACUAAAAUUAAAUAGAAAUCAAACCAUUUUUUUUUUAUCUAAUAUAAUAAAUCAAAGCUAAAACUAAACAAAAUCGAAUUUUCUUAAUUUAAUAUGAUGAGUCAAAGCUAAAAUUGAACAAAGUUCAAACCUUUAUAUAAUGGAUCAAAGUUAAAUCUAAAUGAAAUCCAUACUUCCACAAUUUGAUAUAACAAAUCAAAAAUAAAACUAGAUAAAAAAAAAGUCAAAGCCUUUCAACUUGACAUAGUGAAUCCAAACUGAAACGAAACAAAAUUUUAACUUUUCCAAUGAAACCCAAUAUAGAAAAAAUUAGCUUACCUUCUUUAGAAUAUAUGUAUGGGCCAUAAAGAAGUCACCUUGGUGCAUGUGUUCCUCACUUUGACGCCAAUGGACGACUUUCUAUGGUAGCAAAUGGAGAUCCUUUUUGGUGGUAACUUGCGUGUGGAAACCUAUGGUACAACCAAUGUCAUCUUUUAUUGUGCGUGUGGACCAAUUUCUUCUCGAGAACUCAUGUGUGUUGUGCUCAAAAUAUGUUGCCUGUGAGAAUCUAUUGGUAUACCCCACAUAUGGUUUCCUUGAGAGAAUCUGUGGUUGUGUGUGGGCGUUUUCUUCAUGACAGCAUGUGGAUGUUCCCAUCUAUGGUAGAUUGGUUGUGAUGCUUUAGUGCAUGGUCUCCAUAGGAAUAGUGUGUUAUGGAAAUUUGGUUUUUUUAUUGGUGCAUGUUGUCUAGACUUUCCCAUAUGCGUGGACUGUGUGUUCAUGCUUUUCUUUUCGGAUGGUCGCCUGUGUUAAUGUGUGGCGGUGUCUACAAUGAAAGAUACAACCCUUUCUCUCCUUCUGCGUGAUAGAAAAGUCAAUCCCCCAUGGUGCGACUAUGUUCCCUCGUCCUUUUUGAAAAAUUUUGGUGUUUUCCCCCCAAAAAAUCCCCUCCAAAAAUCUAAUUAUAAAUGUCUGCUUUGGCCUAAUGUGUGUGCUACUUUUUUUUUCCUUCUUUUUAUGGUUGUGCGUGCUUUUCUUGAUACGUGGCUUAUUUCUUAAGGAUAUGAUUCGCUCCCAAUUGGUGUCUCAGCUGAUUCAUGUCCUUUCAAUGGUCCCUGACAGUGGUGCCAUUUGAUUCGUGUCCAGCUGGUGUCCCUUGAUUGUGGUCCUCAGAAGGGAGUAAUCAAUAAAAUUUAUAACCUAUUACACCAUGUAUUAGGAUAGCCUUAGCUAGCAUAGCAUAGUGGCUCUAGGGUCGUUUAUUGGGAUGAGUUUUCACUUCACAAUUGAUAUUAAUUCAAGAGCUGAAUUGGUGCCUUUUCAUUUCAAGGUUAGCUUUAAAAGAAAACAUAAUCUUUGGUGGAAAAAGGUUUGGUUUUAAACUAACCAAAAAUAGUAACUGAUUUUACUUACAAAGAAAAGUGUUCUUUGGAGUUUAGAUCACUAGGCUCAGGUUCCUCAUACAAAAAGGAGAGUUCCGAUCAUUUGUUUCUUUUCCUCGCAUUAGAGAAUUAACAUAUAGUUAAUUCUCUAACCGGUGCGGUACAUAUGCUUCCCAUUAAUGGGUUCAAACACUAAAUACCUCUCACUGAUGCACCUUGCAAUGGCUCGUGCCUCUCACCUAGCAUUUAUCAUUCAAGGUGAUCUUUAACCUUGGAUUACCCAUCAAAAGCUCGCAAGAGAUAACUAAAGGAUGUCUCCUUAGAGUCCAAAAGCUUACCAAGUGUUGGUUAUUCUAGAAAAUCCUACCUUCAAACCACCUCCCAAAGGCUCGCAAGAGAUAAACAAGUGCAUCUCAAUGGAUGAAGAUCACUUGCCUUACCAAGUUUUGGCCCAGAUGAUUUAAUGACAUUUUAAGUUAACUAAAAAGAUAAAAACCAUUAACGGGUCACACUUUCUCUUCAUUAAAAACUAAAACAACAAAACUUCCAAUUUAUGCAUGAGGAAACUUACCUGGCUUUCUUCACUUCAAGAGAUGAAGAGCCUAGCCACUCAUCAUUUGAGGAAAAAUCCUCAGAGUUUGAUUUGCUAGAAAUAAAAAUAAUGAGAAAACAAAAAUAUAUAUAUGAAAAACAGAGCAAGUUCUCUGUAAUAUAUUUUUCUUCCUUAUACAAAAGGUUGUCUCUAAGAACAAGUUCCCGAGAUCUAUCUGAUUGUAAAUAAAAUUACAACUAUAUAUAAGAGGUUAUUCACCCCUUUGUUCUUUCUUAAAGACUAAGGAAUCCUAUGAUAGGUGGGUUACAAGGAGAGUUUGGGGAUUUAGACAUCAAAUAUCUAAAGCAAAAUAUCUCAAGAUGUUAGUCGGAAAUAUCAGGAAGCUUCAGGAGAACACCGCGACACUGUAUACUGAGAGAAAAACUCUCCGGGUAAGCUCUAUCAAAGGAUCCAGACAUGUCUGACUGGGAAAGUUGAAACGUCCUUCUCUCCCAUCCGGAUGUGAGAUAUCCGGAGAAAGUGAAAUGUCGGUCGGACAGAAUUCUUUCCCCGGGUGGAAUGAGUUGUGUUGCGCGUCGCAAGGGGGACCGUCUGCGUGUACAAGUUGUAGGGACCCCUCUCCCGGAUGACACCGAGCGCGUAAGGCUAUCCGGAUCAACUCCAUUCGGAUUCCCCAAGAGGACAUGUGGCGUGCUCCCCUAUCAGGACUCCCUUAGGGAGAAGCACACGACACUCGUGAACAUCAUACCCGGACGAUAGCAUGUCCUAUCCGGAUGUGUUGUCCGGAUCAUUGACUAAAGUGAGCAAGCCUUGCUACGUCAUUCGGACAGCUUGCCACAUACCAUGUUCCGUCGCCAUCUGAUGGUGUGUCCGAACGCCUUGUCCGGACAUCUUUUGCUCCUUGCAUUCCGGAUUUGCUUAUGACAAAGGACUUCAAAGCUUCGGUUCUUCAUGUUUCUGAGCUUUCCAUUGCUUUGCCAUGGAUUCCAAAGAACUCUCCUUAAUCACGGAUUGCUUUGGUGAUCAAAAAGUUAUCAAAACACAAAAACUUAACAUAGUUUGAUUAGAAUUGAUUGCAAGGGUUCUUAAUAUGUUAAUUGGGUUAAAAGGUGAUAACUACUACUCAAAAGUGUUUAUAAGAAUUAAUUACAAGCUAUGAAAUAACACUUUUUGAGUAGUAAUCAGGAUACAUCCUAGUUUUUCAUGGAAUUGAUAGUGGGUUGUUGUGCAUGAAUGCCACCAUUUCAACUAUGCUGUUGUUAUUUUUAAAAAAAAUAUGGAUUAUGCGCGAGUGGCAAUUCUCCACUAUGGAAAGUGGAUUGCUCCUUCAACCCAUGCAUGGCUACGUAUUCCUAUGUCUUUCUACUUGUGUUUGAUCCUCCAAAAAAAAUUUCGGUUUAGUGCUAGUAGAUUUUAAGUGGUGGAUCCCCAUUUUUUGAAAAUGAAGUGGCAGCCUCCCAUUUCAAGACAAAAUGGUAGCCUGCCUUUAAUCUUUGGAGAAAAAUCUGUGCAUGACCUUUUUUUUUCCCAAAAAAUCCGUGCAUGGUGUCCUUUAAUAUUUGGAGAAAAAUCUAUGUUGGAUCUUUUCUUUUCUAGAAACAUUUGUGUGGUCUUUUUUGUUAGCCCAAGGGUUCUUCUAAUCAAGUUUUGAUGAUAACAAACCAUGGUUAAGUGACUAAUUGGUUUAAUGAUUAAGAAUCUCAAACAUAAAAUCGAAAAUUCAUCAAAGGACCAAAUGGAUACAAGAUCGAGACGCUUGGAAGACUUGUAAUCAUAGGAAACUAAUGUAAGAUGAAUGCAUGAGUGCACUUAGGAUUUUCACACGUUUCAUGCAACUUAGAAAACCCAGUUUAUUCUUUAAAACUUCAUCCCAGUUUAUUCUUUUUAUGGUUGUGUGUGCUUUCCUUGAUACGUGGCUUAUUUAUUAAGGAUACAUCCCAGUUUUUCAUGGAAUUGACAGUGGGUUGUUGUGUGUGAAUGCCACCAUUUCAACUGUGCUGUUGUUAUUUAAAAAAAAAAAAAAUGGAUUGUGCGCGAGUGGCAAUUCUCCACUAUGGAAAGUGGAUUGCUCCUUCAACCCAUGCAUGGCUACGUAUUCCUAUGUCUUUCUGCUUGUGUGUGAUCCUCCAAAAAAAAUUUUGGUUUAGUGCUAGUAGAUUUUAAGUGGUGGAUCCCCUUUUUUUGAAAACUAAGUGGCAGCCUCCCAUUUCAAAACGAAGUGGUAGCCUGCCUUUAGUCUUUGGAGAAAAAUCUGUGCAUGACUUUUUUUUUCCCAAAAAAUCCAUGCAUGGUGUCCUUUAAUAUUUGGAGAAAAAUCUAUGUGGGAUCUUUUAUUUUCUAGAAAAAUUUGUGUGGUCUUUUUUGUUAGCCCAAGGGUUCUCCUAAUCAGGUUUUGAUGAUAACAAAUCAUGGUUAAGUGACUAAUUGGUUUAAUGAUUAAGAAUCUCAAACAUAAACUCGAAAAUUCAUCAAAUGACCAAAUGGAUACAAGAUCGAGACGCUUGGAAGACUUGUGAUCAUAGGAAACUAAUGUAAGAUGAAUGCAUGAGUGCACUUAGGAUUUUCACACGUUUCAUGCAAUUUAGAAAACCCAGUUUAUUCUUUAAAACUUCAAUUUCAUUAAAACCCGAGUUUUUAACUAAUGUACCUUAGGCAAAAUGUUUUAUAAUUGGCUUAAUAAUUCACCUAAAUACAUUUUCUAAGUGUUAGAAAAGAAAGGAAUUAAAAAAAGGUUUUCGGGGCAAAAAAGGCUCAACCGGUCGAGGCUAUGGUCAACCGGCUCAACCGGUUGAGGAACCAAUCGAUCGGUUGUGCUUGUCCGAUCGAAGACCAAUCGAGGGAUGCCAAAAAAUUUCUCUCUCUCCUAGUGGCCUUCUCUUCCCGGUCGAGGUUCGGUCUAGGCAACGGUAACAUGUCAAGCAUUAAAUGCUCCGACGACUAGUGAAUCGGUCGACCCCUAGCCCGAUCGGACGAGGUUGCCUUUUGCUGUUUUUGACUCCCGAGCUUAGAAACCUAUAAAUUGAGAGCUCCACUUCAUUUAUUGAUAAAAGAGAACACUUGCAUUCAAUAGUCUACCUACCUUUUCUUGAUCAAAAAGCUCUCAUUUCCUUCAUAGUGCAUUAAAUCAUCACUUGCAUAUCCUUUAGUGCACUAUUGUGUGUCAUCCUAGCUUUGUUUUGUAUUUGAGCUAUCCUUAAGCUAGGUUGAGGGAUUAUUUCUUAUAAAAAUCUGAGUGUUAAAGCCUUCAAGAGAUUUGAAUCUUGAAGAGAUUGUGUAAGAGCCCAUUGGAGCCGGAGUCCAAGUGUAAGAAGAUUGGAAGCUUGGUUGAAGCUUCAAGUUAGUGGAACCCUCACUCGGUUAGGAGGUUGAGGAGAGUGGACGUAGGUAAGGAAGUGUCGAACCAUUAUAAACCCGAGUUUGAAUUCUCUAACUCUAUCUCUUUAUUUUGCUUAUAUUGUGUUUGAAUUUGUUGUGAUUGAAAAGAUUUUAAAAACCUAAUUCACCCUCCCCCCUUUUGGGUUUUUUUUUCUUAAUUAAGCAUAACCUUUGUUUUCUAAUUUUCUUUUUAGGAAAAUCCAUGCGUGGUAUGUCCAAACUCUCCAAGUGGCAGUCUGCCUUCUUCUAAAAAAUUUGUUUCUAUUUCUUUAUUCGACUACCUUCCAUGUCUUCCUAAUGAGUGCUUGUGCUCAAUGGUCAAUCCCUGGUGGUUGCCUCCUUUUCCCAUAUAUACGUGUUGCAAAAUCAACAUCCCACUAUAUGUGGGUUGCCUCUAUGGCAAGUUCACAUUUCCCACAUGAAACCUAUGAGUUUCCACCAAAAAUUGCCAUGAAAAAGUCUUUAUAUGCAUCUCAUGCAAUAAAAAGUCAAGCCAAUACUCAUCUUAUCUCGAAAAAUAAGUAACCAAAAUCAAGAUCAUGCCUAAGUGAACUAUGCCAAAAGAAGUGUCCAAGUGACCUAUUAUGAAAAAAGUGCCUAAGUGACCUAAGGUGAAUGUGUGUAAGCUGGAAGGUGUCUAGGAUGUUUAGGACAAUGCCUAAGCCUAAAAUAGGGUUGCCAAGGGUCACAAUGGGGUUAGAUAAAUCUCUCAAUCAGAGUCUCCAAGGUGGCUCAUAAAAGAUAAGCUACACGAGUAAUGAUGGGCCACCAGGGAAUUAUUGUAAAGCACCAAACGAACACAUAAUAGGACAUGUGUUAGAAUGAAAAAAUGGAGGGUUUACAAGUGGUCUCAUGGAUGAGCUUGAUAAUUUAAAUGACUCACAUAAUGAACGUAUGUGAUGUUUCUCUCCAAUAACAAGCAAAACAUCACUAGCAAUAUGAUGAAUGUCUCCUAAAUCACUUGAAGUAGUCCUAGCAAAUCAAUUAGAAAAAUCACACAUAUUGCUCUAAUGUAAUAUUAUAUACAUCUGUCAAUGAAUGGGAGAACUAAUGACACAACCAUCAUGUUGAUAUCUCGAACCCUCUAAUCUCAUAUGUAGGUGGGAUCACACUUAGAAACUCAUAACACAGUAAUGACCAAUCUAAGUCAAAAUGUGUUGGUGAUCGGAGGCCCAUGAAUAUGAAGUUCUAGGAUGAUAAUGACAUCUUAUAAAGUAAUGAUCAUCUCCUUAAUAGAUAGGUGAAAUGUGUGUGUCUUAGGACACCAUCUCUCAACAAGACUUGUGAUCAAUCCCCAGUCUAGUGUAACAUGCCUAUUAUGACAUCCAUCGUAAAAUCUAGACUAGAUAAUAUAAGGACAAAUGUGAGGGUUCAUCUCCCUUUCCCACAUAAAUUUAAAAAAUUAUUAUUGACAAGUUAAGACCAAACUAAGUUGCAAAAUAUAAAUAAGUCCAUUAGAUAACAAAUUUAUGUUUUCUCAUUUUCUCAUUUUUAAAGAGAUAUUAUGUGCUUCCAUGUACAUACAUGCUAAAGUCAAUUAUACGAGACUUAUAUCCAUCUUGUAGAACCAAAUCGAACCUAUCUAAUAGAUCCAGAUUAGAAGUAUGUCCUCUAUACUCCAUAUUUAUAACACAUUUAUAAAGAUAAAUGCUAAAAAAAUGUUAAAGAUAUAAAUUUAAUGAACCAUACUUUAUGAUUUUAAUUCUCAAUUAUUGUUCAUAUUUAUAAGAGAAAAGUUAAAAAAAUUGAUAGAGUUUUCCCUCUAUCAUGGACAUUAUCCCAAAUAAAAAUAAAUUGAUUAUGCAAAUUACAUUAAUAUUUGUAACCAAAUGAUCAAUAACUAUCUUGUAUCAAUUUAGUAAAUAAAUUUAAGUAUAUCUUUUCAUUUAUGACUAACAAAUAACUCAUACUUGUCCAAUAAAAGCCACACCUAAUUUCUAAAAUUUUGUCUUCACCUCAAGUGAGUGUUACAUUGAGAAAGAAAAAAUAUGAAAGAAAAAAUGAACACCUUUUUCUUUUAAUAAAAAAAGGCCAUAACGAAACAUUAAAUCUCACUGUUACACCUAUCUUCAAUGGAAACAUGAGGAUGUGAAUGGUGGCGGUGAUAUUCUUUGCUUGAAGCUCAUAAACAAAUAUUCCUUACUAAGCCUAUGCCAUUUAGUAUUUCAAUAGUGGACCCCCCCCCCCCCCCCCCCCCCCUCCUUGCAUUUCAGAUUUAGCAAACUUAGAACCAAAUAACAAAGUGCAUUUGAACCCAUAAAGAAGUAAUGAGACUCUCCUAUAUUGGCAAUAGAAGAAAUUUUUGGAGGUAUAGGAGAUUCACGGAUGAAGAAGUUGGGCCCCAAUUGAGAUAAGACCCAAGAAAAGAUGGGGUAGAGAGGGAUGGUUGGAAAUUGUAAAGUAAGAUUUUCAAAAUGUAGUUGAUGACUAAGAUUUUGACAAUUUAAAAAAGGUUUAAAAAUGUAGUUAGCAAUCGGGGUUUUGUAACAUUUAAAAAAUAAAAUAAAAUCUCAGGCCACAUGGUAGCCCAUGUGAUUCAGAAGCUUGAGAAUUAUUUUAUAAGAAGACUUAAUUUGUGAUUUUUUUAUAACUAUAUUAUUUUUUUUCUUAACACACGAAAAAAAUUAUGAAAUAAGACAAUUUUCCUAAGAAAGCAUGUAAGUGACUCUUGGUUAUUUUAUUUAACUUCUUCUAGUUUGGAGAGGAUUAAUACCUUUGCUUUUACUCACUUGCUUGGAUAUGUACACGUUGUUCAUGUCACUUUUCAUUUAAUUUUCUGAUUAAGGGAAUUGGAACCGUACGUAACUGUCUUUAUUCCCUCUGAAACUUGGACUUGGAGUUGGACUUUCAAUCUCAUCAGUCGUGUUUCCAUAAAAAAGAAGAUGGAUUAACCAAUUUUCCUAUGCCUACUAAUCAUACACAAAACUCCACUUCCAAAUAAAAAGGAAUGGGAUAUCACUUGUUAAUAGUGGCUAAAGACUAUUAAUAACCAUGCAAAGAAAUGUCACAUUUUUUGUUCUACGCAAAUUUUAUUCAUCAACUACUAGAACCAUUUCAUACAAUAGUAGCUUUUCGAUCCUUUGAUAAAUGGACACUUGAUGUGAUAACACCAACUACACCUAUAUAUUCAAGCAAUCAUGCGUAUAUAAUAGUGGAUAUGGAUUACUUCUCUAAAUGGGCAAAAGUUUUGUCAUUCAAGGAAAGUGAACGAGGAAACACAAGUUUACUUUCAUCGGAACUAAUAUUAUAUAUUGAUAUGACUUCCCAUUAUUACUUACGAUGGAAUAUGCUUCCAUAAAAUGGCCUAGAUGAACAAACUAUCCAAGAAGUUUGGGAUCAAAUAAUAUAUAUAUAGUUCAUGUGUGAUUCUUUGGUUGACAACCUUGUUAAGGGGUGAGUGAAGCACUUUGGGCAUACCACAUACUACAUGCUAGACUUCCACCCAAGCUACCCUAUAUUCCUUAUGAACAAAGUAGAAGUUGUCAUCUCUCUUGAAUACCAAAUCCUUUCACCUAAUAAUGCUAUCUAAAAAGGUCUUAAAAAGGAUAAAAAUGCGCAUAUUUGAAUUUUUGAAUUAGGAGUGCUACUUAAAAAGAAGCUAGAUAUACAAUAAUAGAAUGUUAUCAAGCAUAUCUCUUCAAAGUUUUUGACCAAAAAAUAUAUGAUUUCUCAUUUUAGGUAGGAGACUUAGUACUCACUAUUCAAAAACCAAUUAUCAUUACUCAUAAAAACUAAUAGAAAGUUUGGGCCAAAGUAGGAUGGACCUUAUAUUAUGCAACAAUUAUGCCUAUAAAAUUGUUGCAAAAGAGGUUUUAGAAUCAAAUCAAUGAAUGAAAAAUUAUUAAAGCAUUACUAUGCUUGAAGGCUAGUCAUUUUCCCUUAAAGUGCAAUAUUAAGUUGCAUAGUACUAUGUGGAUCCGCAUUUUUCACAUGCGUUCCCACUCAUUGUCGAGACUCACUUUUUAGAAGUGAAAAAUUAGUUUUAUUAAAGUCGAAGUUGCCACUGGGGAUUUGAACCCUAACAAAAGGUUCAAUUUAAGGAUAAAAAUAUCGAUAAUCACAUAUAUAUAUAUUGGUACUUUGAUUUUAUGAAUAUAUUGAAGAAAUAUGGACAAAUAUUUUGACACAAAAUAUGUACAAAAUAAAAAUUAUAUAAAAAGUAAAAAUAAAUAUUUUAAAAUUAUUUUUUUAAAUAUAUAUAUAUAUAAUUUGACAUAUUUGAUAAUAAUAUAUAAGGGUCUCCAAAAAGCCCGUGGCCCGCUUUAGGCCCGGUCCGACCCGACAGGCUAAAGCCCGGCCCAAGCCCGCCGGGCCCAAGCUCGGCCCGAGCCCGUUUAUGGGUGGGCCGGGCCGCGAGCCCGUAGGCCUGCUCCUUUAAAAAAAAACUACAAAAAUAAAAAGUAUUAAAAAAAAUAUUCAUUUCAAAAUUUUAUUCAUUGAAUGUAUAAUUACAUUUGAAAAUGUGGGAAAAGUUUACAUCACUACAAAAUAAAUACAUCCCAACUAGGUUGGCACCUAUUUAUUUGUCAAUCAUCUGUAUUUUUCAACCACAAAAAAUAAAAAUAAAAAUAUAAUAUACAUUUAGUCAUUAUUUUCUGGCGGUGAUGGCGAACUAUCAUGCAUCCAUGAAGAUCUUGAUAAUUUUAAAGAUUCCAUAUCGGUAAGCAUCUUUGUUUCUCGAAUGGAAUCAUACAUCCUUUUAUCUGCUAUUUCCCAAUCUUUCACACAUAUCCCUGCUUUAAUAACAUCUGACGCUAAGUUGCAUCGUUUUUUACUAACUACUCUUCCACCUGCACUAAAAGCAGCUUCUGAUGCAACUGUACUCACAGGAACUGUUAGUACAUCACGAGCAAUUAUAGAAAGCACAGGAUAUUUGUGUUGAUGUGAUUUCCACCAUAUUAAAAUAUUAAAAUCUUCUUGAUCUUCAAAUGAAAUUAUAUCAGUAUUAAGAUAUUUAUCUAAAUCAGAUGUAUUAUUUGGAGAAUUAUUUGUUGUCUUUUUUCGACUUUUCAACAUUUCUAGAGCUCCUUUAUAAAAAGAUGAGGAGUUUGUAGAUGUAGGUGGUAAUUUAAUAGUAUUAAUAUCAUUACCAUAUUUUUCUUUAUAAUAGUUAUAUAAAUUAUAUAAUAAUGAAUUUAUUUCAUUUUUAAUUUCUUCAAUUUUUAUUUGGUCAUUAAAAUAAAUAAUUGUUAACCAUUCAUCCAAAGCUUCAAAUUUCAAUCUAGGGUCCACAAUUAAAGCAAUAUAAAAAAUUAAAGGUAUUUCUCCCCAAUAUUUUCUAAAUUUUUAUAUCAUUACAAAUAUUGUAUCAUUAAAUAUUUCAAAACUUAAAUAUUUUUGAAGUACAAUAAAAAUAUUAGUUAUUUGCGUAAUAACUCGAUUUGAAGUUGGAUAAUAUACACCACAAAAAAUGUUUGUUGAAGUAUCAAAAAUUUCAAAAAGAUCUCUUAAAACAUCCGCAAUAUGCCAAUCAUAAUCAUUUAAUGCAUAAAUAUCUGCUUCAUAAUCAUUGUUAAUUAAUUGUAUUUCAUAUAAUUCGACUACUUUUCUAUAUUUUGUAAUAUUUUCUAAAAGUUUAUAUGUGGAAUUCCAUCUAAUAGCCAUAUCCAAAUUUAUAUUUUUUCUUUUCAUAUUUAACAUUUUGCAACAAUCAAAAAAUAAUUCAUGUUUUGCUUGAAAACUAUUAAUACUAUAUGCAAUGCCUCUAAUUUUUUUCCAAUGUACUAUCAACAUUUUUUAAUCCAUCCUUUACAAUUAAAUUUAAAAUAUGUGCACAACAACGCACAUGAAAUAUUUUAGCAUGAUCUUCUUUUACUUGCCAAUAUCGUUUUAGUCUAUGUAUUGCUGCAUCAUUAUUAGCAGCAUUAUCUAAUGUUAUUGUCAAUAUUUUAUCACGAAUGCCUAAAUCUAUAAUUUCAUCAUUUAUUAAAGAUGCUAUAUUUUUACCACUAUGUGGAGUAUUUAUUAAUUUAAAUAAAAUUAUUCUUUUAUUUAAUUUCCAUUCAUUAUCAAUGUAGUGAACAAUUAUAUAUAAAAAACCAGUAUGAGUUAAAGAUGUCCAAAUGUCAGAUGUUAAACGAAUAUUUCCUUCAAAAUUUGCAAAAUUUUUUUUUAAAAUUUCUUUUUGUGUAUAAAUUUUUUUCAUAAUAUCUCUUUUAACUGUAUUUCCAGAUCAACCUUUAAAUUGAGGAUUAAUACCUCGUUGAAUUGUUCUUGCAAAAUCAUGAGUUUCCAUCAUGUUGAAAGGUUGUUCUGCUCUUAUUAUAUAAUCAAUCAUUUCUUCACAACAGUUAGAUUCAUCAUAAGAAAAUGUUUUUAAAUUUCCACUUUCAUUUUUACUUAAUUGCAUAUAAUUUCUAAUAUCUACAUUAUUUUUAGUUUUACAAUUUUCAUGAUGUCUUUUUAAAUGACUUGUAUCUGCAUUUGAGCCACCAGUAAGAAAUUUAUUACAAAUUUUACAUUUUGCUUUUAUUUUUUUUUUAUUAUUUUCUAAAAUUAUUUCUAUUCUAUCAAAAAAAUUCCAUAUAUUUAAAGUAAAUUUUUUGUUUGAUGAUAUUUCAUCACAUGGACUAGACGAAGAAGCACUUGUCAUAUUAUAAUUAUUGAUAAAAUAUUAUGCCAAAAAUAAUAAAGUAAUAAAUAUAAAAAAAAAUGUAACAAAAAAAAUAAAGUAGUAGGGGUGAAGUAUGUUACUCAAUUAGAGAACCUAUGCAGAAAUUCCUAGCAAAUUUGAACUCUUGGAGCCACCAAUGCUUGUUUUGCACCAUCAACAAUAUUGUAUAAUUUGAGGGAAAAAUAAAAGAAUUUAAAAUAUUGUAGAAUGUGAGAGAAAUAGAGAGAAUUUGAUGAAAAAAUGAAAAGGAAGAAAAUGUAUUUAUAGGAAGGUUAAAAAUAAUAAUAAUAAUAAUAAUAAUAAUAAUAAUAAUAAUAAUAAUAAUAAUAAUAAUAAUAAUUGGCCAUGUGACCGUUGGAGGCUUAGCUCCAACGGUCACAUGGGCUGGAGCUAGGCUCCAACAGUCACAUGACCGUUGGAGCCUUUAAUUUUUUUUUUUAAAAUAAUAUACUUUAUUUUUAUAUAUAUAUAACUAACUCAAUUAAUAAACAUAAAAAGAAUAUAGUUCAGUUGGUUAGAACCUUGAAGUUUAAACAUGAGGGGAGGGGUUUGAAUCCCUCCCUCUCCCUUAGGGGCUUUUUUAAAAGCCAUUUUGGCUUAUUUCAAAAAGCCUGUCGGCCCGACCCGCCCUGCAGCCCGCGGGCCUAGCAUUUUAGCAUGGCCUGGUCUGUUGACUAGUCAAAUGGCUCAUAGGCUCGGCCCGAACUGGGCCGCGGGCCUCUUAUUUACGGACCGGCCCGACCCGGCCCGCCCGUUGGAGACCCUUGAUAAUAUCUUCUAUAUUAAGUUACAUUAUAGUUUAUUUUACAAUAUUAUUAUGAUAAUAUGUCUAAUUUUAAAAUAUAUUUAAUAUUAAAAUUAUGAUCUAUUUUAAUUUAAAUGUAUUCAAUGAUAUCAAAUAAAUAAUAAUAUAUGUAUAAUUCUUUUAUUAUUUAUAUUUAUUAUUUUUAAUAAAUAUAUAGAUUAUAUAAAAAAGACCGGAUAUAUCUUUUCAAAUUUUGUAUCGCUCUCCAAGGAUAUUAGAUGUAUGGGAAUUUGUAUUGCUAUCUACGGAUACGUUGAUAUAUGGGUGAUUUAUCAGGAUAAUUAGAAAUUCUAAUUAUGUAAGCAGGUACGGAGUUCUGUGUCGGUGCGAUCUUGUCGACAACAGCUCCAAAUUGUGCAUCUUGCUCAUAGAGAGUAGCGGAAUGCACCAAUCGUAGGCUCAGAGUACCACUGAGUCGUCUGGCAGAGACCCAACUGAAGGUGCCUGUGUUGUUCCUGAUCUGAUCAGGCUUCAAACUACAAGGUGGAAUACUGGUUCCCCUAUAUCAGAAGCUGGAGAUACCCACCCCAUAUGCUCGUCUGGAUGUGCUCCUACCCUUUGAAGCCUUCUUCCGAGUCAAGUCCGAAUUGAUAAGGCUAGUGAGUUCCCAACCAACUGUACUCAGCAUGCUGCCAGGUGGAGACCCUCCAUAUUUGAUGGCUUCCUAAUAUUAAAAUGCUGACCACUGGUCUUCAUGUUCCACAGGCUUAAUUGUGUCCUUUGCUGAAAGAAUGGAUAGUGAUCCAUUUUAACACAUGAUUCACGCCGUCUUUGCCAUUCUUCAUGGUCUAGCCCUUUUAUAUAUAUGCUUCCUGAACUGUUGCUAUUAAUAAAAUGUGGUAUCUAUCCCGUACACCUUCCUGAUGGCCAGCGAAUGCAGAAGCUACAGAAACGGUUCCAUCUUUUGCUUCCGCCACUUUGGCAUCCUCCAUGAUGAGAUCGAAGGUGAAUAAUCAUAUUCUGGGGAUUUAUGUCCUGGAUAUUCUCAGUAAUGCCCAAUUUCCUGGUGCCGGCCUCAUUUCCAUGGGAACUGAUGGAUAACUUAAGGCUUCUACCAUCUGCGUGGUUCGCUUCUAACACAGGAAACUUCACGGCUAAAAGCAAGAUACCAAGAACAUCAAGGCUGUGACAAAAAUUAGUAUUUUUAACUUGUAGGAAUUUGAAAGGCAACCAACCAUCUAGCUCUGUUCUUAAAGCUCCCAUAGGAGGAUCAGAGGCUGGAUUGCUCAAGAUGAACUCAUCCAUUGUUGCACUUAAAAAGAAUUGGCAUGAAUUGUGGCCGCUCUAAUAGGUUCCCUAAACCAUCAUCCAAGUGGGCUUGCGGAAGGUAGCGAGUUUAAAACACCUAGGGCGAUGAACAGUGGACUGUGAUGCUCACAAAAGAGAAAAGGAAGAAUUCAAUAAUUCCUAAGAAUCCAUUUGCCUGUCAUCCAAAUUUUUAUAUUCUCUUCAGUCUGACGCGUUAUGCCAUAUAUUAAAAAUAGCGGCUUCUUCCAAGCCGAGACAGACUGUGCAAAGUUCGCAAGGCCAAUCAUCACCAUAAUCUGAAGUUGGCCUCCUCAAUCGCAGCUUGUAUCCGAAUGCUCACUUCACGGGAUGGAUUGUAAUGAAAACUAAUCUCAGUCCCAGCUAUGGCAGCAUCCUCACUUGACAGCAUUUUCUGCAUAUUCUAGAACAAAGCAAUAAACCCUCAAAGGCUCCUUCGGAUCAGAGUUAGAAGACUGUCCCUCAGGAACGUGAACACUAUGGUGGUUCUGAUAAGCAGUGAUAUUGCAUUAGAGCCUUUUGGAACAAGAGGAUCUUUUCAGGUGGAAACUGUAAACUGCUUCAUGUUGGGCUGCAACCUUUUCUUCAAGCAAUACUUUCUUUCUGUAUCACGACUUAUGUUGCUUCCGGAGCCAUCCCGUGUGGACUGCCCUUCAGUGAAAGAAUAUGUGUGUUGACAUGUUGGAUUGUAAUCUUUGUUCCACUCUAAUGGCUUUUGGUCCUCCUCUUUCUCUUUAUGACAGAGAACCAUUUAGUGAUCCAUCUCUAUAUUGUAGCAUUGCUGGUGCUUUGCAAUACUACACUCUCACCAAGCAUAACAUCUAUUUUUCCGUGACCAAAGUAUGUCGGUUUAUGCAUGCGCAAACUCUUAUUCAUUGGCAAGUUGUCAAGCGUAUCUCAUGAUUUCCCAAAGCCACAAGUUCUUAUGGUCUUUCUGUUCAAGCUUACAAUGAUCUAUCUUUUCUUGGUUAUACUGAUGUCGAUUGGGCUAGUUGCCCUGAUAACAAGCACAAUACUAGUGGGUACAACACUUUUCCUGGUCCUAAUCUCAUUUCAUGGGCAUUUUCAAAGCAGAAGGUUGUGUCUCACUCCAAUAACGAAUCUGAAUAUAGGGGACUCACUAAUUAAUGUUGUUGCCAAGGUCACUUGGAUUGAAUCUGUCUUACGUGAGUUGCGUGUUUCUCUACCCCAACCACCAAUUUUGUUGUGUGACAACAUUAGUGCUACACACUUGGACAAACCAUGUUGAAAUACACUAUCAUUUUAUCCAUGAAAGGCUUAUGCAUCACACACUCAAAAUUCAAUACACCUCUUCUAUAGACCAACUAGUCAAUGCUAUGACCAAAGCUCUUCCUUCAUCUCACUUGUACAAUCUUCAGUGCAAGCUGAUUGUUCUUCCCAAACCACUCAACUUGAGGGGAGAUGUUAAGCCAAUUUAAUAAAUUGAUUUCUUUUGGUUAAUUUGUUAGAAUCAUUUUUAUUAGAGGUUUGUUUGUACAAUUACAUCCAUUUAUCAGGAGAGUACACGUGUACAACUCCUCUUUUAAUCUCACCAUUGUAUAUAUAUGAUACACGACCUUACUCAGAAUUGCAUAACAUUUCCUCUGCUCAUUCCUUUUCUUCUUUGAAUUUUCCCUUACCUCACUGAUUUUGAUUUAUACCUGGUGUUUUCACCUUUGGUCUCUACCUUUCUAGCCAGUUUUCUAAUUAAUCCGUAUAUGGUAUACCUGUCAACUAAUGAGGAGAAAGAGAAAAGGGGAUUGCUGUUCCACCAGCUACAUAUAAUAAUUAAUUACAAUCAUGGUAAUGGAUCCUGAAAUCCAUCCUUUGUGGAUUUUGUACGGAAUAUUGUUGUUAUGUAUGUGGGCUCACUUAGAUGUAUAUUGCUAGCCUGUCUGGGAAAUGUGAUUGCAGGUCCAGAUUAUGAUGUUGAUAUUAGUGGGAUAAGCAAGAGAUGCAGUUAACACGUAUGUGAUGGACUUGAGUAACUUUUCCAUUUCAGUCCAUUUUUUAAGAUUAUGCUUAGUCUUAUUACAAGGAAAGACCAUAAGAAUCAUGAGUCAUUGGCAAGGUAAUAUCAUUCCCUCUUUACAGGCUUCUUCACCUUUUGGUUUUUUUAAUAUCCAUCAAGAUCUUUUAAUUGGAGGACAAUUACAAGUAUAUAUAUAUGUAUUAAAAGGGGAAAAUAUUAAAACAGGAAAUUUUAGGGAAAAUAUAAUAAUUAUUUCUUCCUUCUUUCCCAUAUAGAACUACACAAAAUAAAACUUUAAUAAUUUUUUCUUAUCUUUUUUAUUAUUAUUUUUUCUUAGAAACAUCCGUGGUCUCACAAGCUUGUAAUCCUAGAUUGUUAGGCUCCUUUAACAGUGCCCCAACAUCGUGGUCCAAUGACAAGCUUCCACGCCUUAAAAUCAGAAAAUGCCAUUAAACUUUAUCAGACAUUACAGUUCAAGACAAAGCUUUCAUUUGCUUAAUGUGAUAAUGAAAUUGUUAAUUUCAUUUCGUGGGCAUCUAAAUUUGGACGAGCAAGACCUCUGAAUUCCCUGUUUUUAUCACCAGCAGAGGAGAUAAAAUCUUAAUGGUGAGAAUCUCCACGUGAAAUUUAUGUGUACUGUCAACAUAUUUUUGUUUAUAUAGUCCAGUAGCUGCAGGAAGUCUAGAUUAUAUAGGUAGCAGUAGCACUAUUUAUAGCACUCGAUAUUCGCUGUAUGAAUACAUUAAACCUUGUUUUCAAUACGCAUCACAAGCAAGUACUAGAUACUACAAGGAGUGACAGUCGCAUCAACAUUUCUUGAUAAUAGCAGUGACUGAUUUAUACACAGAACAGUACUGUACACGUACCAGUCACCAGAGAUAGGAUCUUAUUCCUACAUACGACUCUUAUUGAUCGAAGUCACUCAGUUGGGGUAGCCUGGAGUUGGAGGUUUGUGUGGUGGCUUCUUCUUUGGAGGAGGCUUUAUCUUUGGAGGCAUCAUCUUUGGAGGCAUCUUGUGUGAGUCUUCUUCAGCAUUCUCUACAGGAGGAUGGCCAGGCUUAUGACCCUUAGGUGGUUUGCCAACUGGGAUUGGUGGCUUGUGUCCUGAGAGUGGCUCCUCUUCUUCGGGAGGUUUGCCAACUGACGUUGGUGGCCCGUGUCCUGGGGGUGGCUUGUGUUUUGGGGGUGGUUUCACUCCACCGGGAGGUUUACCAAUUGGUGUUGGUGGUUUGUGCUCAAUCGGUGGCCUCUCAACUGGGGGGCGCUUGGGGUAAUCAGCGAGUGAAGAAGUGGUGAGAACCACCACUCCAAGCAACAACACUAGCAAGUAUGUGGAAGACAUCUUUGAGUUUGGCUCAGAUGGUGUAGAACUAGAAUCCUGGGUGGCCUUUUAUAUUAGUUGGGCCCUAUGCCCGAACGACAAGUGUCAUGGUGACACAUAAAGUGAUGGGGUCGAUUUGGGCCUACCGGAUUUGAAAACUUGGACAAUUCGAGAAGCGUCUCCUGACUCCGGGUUGUAAAGUGAAAGAUUAGGUAUCGACCAUUGAAGUAUGAUCACAACUUUUGGCCUUUGGCUCUCUCUACUGCCGUAUAGCUUUUUUCCUUUGGAUAUUUUUCUUAGCUAGACACAAUUAUUGAGCAGUCUAAUCUCGAAAUGGGAUUAGUAUAGCUUUAAGCAAAUUUAUUAUAGUUAGUGGAGGACUUUUAAGAGUGCAGACGACAUUUAACACAUGCAUGCAGUAGUAUAGGGGACAUAACACUAUUCUUUUUCCAAAGAUUCACAUGAUUUUUAUAUUAUAGUAUUGGCACAUUGUAUGUAGCUGGUUUUGUGGUUAAAAUUCCAUAUGUAGACACUGGCGUUUCUCCAUUUCUCACAAUUGAUGUUUACCUCCACGAUUACUAGAUUAGAUAUACCAAACAAUAACACAUUGUAUAAUCUAUCCGCCCUUCAAAAUCUACUGUAUGAUGAAAUGUUUCAUGUGUGUGUGAAGUGUUAGAAAUGCACUAUAGGCAACAUCAUCUUCUUUUGUCUAGGCUUGGGCCUCAAAUUAUACUCCCAUGCCAUGAUAAAUUUUCAUGUGCAUUCUCUAAAGAAGAGUGUCUUGAAUGUGCCAAAUCAUUUUGAUUGAUUUUAUGAUGUUAAUUGCUCCGCAUAUGGAUGGGUAUGUGCUUUAUUUGCUUAUUCAAUCCACAAUUACCUUGAACUGAAGUCCUAUUGGAGCUCUAUUAUUUUAGCAACGUCCUGUCAAAUAGGCUGCUAACUUGGGGUGGUAUGGACCCAAUGAUCCAUCUUAAUCUUGGGUUGAUUUUGUCUGACUCUAUCUAUCUCAGAGAGAACCAGGAUCACCAGUGCUGGUCUGCUUAAAGAAGACUCAGUACUGGAUUAAUAUUGGUUUGGGUCAAUAGCUUAUAAUGCAUUGAAUGCAGAAUAAACAAGAUCAAUGAAACCCAAAACACACUGCCCACACAACUUCACUCUGGUGUCUGUUAUUCAUCAAUUCUAUUCCCACAUGAACUGGUUCAAGUUUAAGAAAAUGACAACGGAUCCACUGUAUUAACUUGGUUUUGCUUGGUUUUGAGCUAGUUGCCAAACCAGCCAUGAGUUUUACCUCUAAUGUCAAUGAACAAACCCCAAAUGAACAACUGCAACAGCUUAAAGAGAAGGAAUGGAGAUGAAAAUCCCUGUUUCUUCUCAUUCUGGGGACAAAUUAGAACAUAACUACAAAGGUUCUAUUAAUUGACUUACUCUACCAUGAAUUAUGGUUCUUUGGUUUUCCAAAUUUAAAUUGUACAUGAGAUUAUUUUUUUCCUUUAUAUAUAAACAUAUUAAGGUUUUCUUAUUUCGUGGGCAAAUGCGCUAAGGAUGAAAGUCAUUUCAUUUGGCUGCAACAGCAUCUUAUAAUCAACAUGCAUAAGCAGCAGUUUUAAUUGAUCGAUUGAACACCGACUCACAAGAAUAGAUAGAAUGGUACAAGACAGCUCUUAUUAAUUUAUACUCGUUACUCAUUUUAUGUAGCCCCAUUAAGAUGGCUGGCUGGACCACCGAGGUCUGGGGGUGGUGUUGCUUGUGUGAUGCAGCGGGCCGGGCAGACACUUCUCUAGUUGCUUCUAUUUGGAGUUAGAGGAUCAGUCUCUGCCAACCUUGAGGACUCUCUACCUCAGAGGGUCCAGGUGGUGGACUCUGGUGUCGGUAGCUUUGAACUCUCAGUAGACUAGUGUGUCUUAAUCAGUCACUGCCAGAGGCUGGCGUAGGCAGUGACGAUAAGGUGAGACAAAUUACCGAAUAGUCAAUAUCGACUGCACUUGACCAUUAUAGAUUUGUUCUGACAAAAGUGAGAAAAGGGAGAAAAUCGGAUGUUGACCUUUAUAGAAAAAGAUAAGAUUUACUGCAACACAGAGCACUGAUUUGUUACUUGGAAACCAAGUUAUGCUAUUAGCUAGCCUCCAUUAGCAGCAGGGUACCUUGCUGCCUGAUCCUAAUCUGAGUUCCCAAGGUUUCAAUCUUCGUUUGUUAACGCUUCAGGAUUUGGAUAUUUCAGCUUCGUUUCUCCAUUUAGCCAACGCUGCCUGGUUUGGAUUUCAAUCCUCAUCUGGAACAUUCUUUUUUCGGUCUGAUUCAGGAAGUGUUUGGUGAUAGUUGAUUAAAAUUAAACAGUACUAUCAUACAAAUAAAGCUGAUCUAAUUUUGGUGGGCAAUAUACCAACUCAUUUAUUCUUGAAAACACCAUGGGGAAUUGGAGGUCCAUCCGAAGUACUAUUUGAUGGGACUCACAAAAAGAACAGGUGCACAUUUAUGAGAUCCGUGGAAGAGAUAACUAUGACAGCUAUGCAUGUACAACAGAUUUAUGUCGAGUUCACCUCGUAGAUAUUUUGUUUUCAGUGUCGGUGGACCCCAAAAUGGAAAUCGGAAAUUAAGGUUAUAUUUAUUUUUUUAUUUAAUUUUAAAUAGAAUUUUAAUUUUUAAUAAUAUUAAGUAUUAAAUUAUUUUUUUAAGGGUAUUUUAUUUUUAUUAAGUAUUAAAAAGUAAAAAAAAUUAAUAUGUUGCUUUUUUAUUUUAAAAAAAUUAUAUAUUUUAAUUUUUUCUAUUUACUAAAAAGUUUAUAAUAAAUUAUAAAAAAAUAAAAAAAUAAAAAACUUAAAUUCUGAAAAUAAAUUAUUUUUAAUAAAAAAAUCCAAAAAAGCAAACACCACCUAAAUUUGAGAUGACUCAAAAUUUUAUAUUUUUUUUCACCUAAAUUAUAUUCAUAAAUUUAAAAUUAAAAAAUUAGGAAGUUGAAUUUUAUUUUGGAUAAUUGGAAACUACAAGAAAUCAAUAAAAAUAUUUGGAAAAAAAAGAAAAAGAAAAACUAUCUAUAUAUUCACCCCCUUCUAAGAAACAUAACUUUAGUUUUUAACUAUUUUUUAAAAUAAUUUUUGAAAAAUGUUAUAUAAUAUUUUAUAAAACAAAAAAUCUGUUUGACAAUUUGAUAUGUCUUUAACUUAUUUUUAAUAUUUAUAUAUAUAUAUUUUAAAAAUAAUUUUAUAUUUAGAACUUUAUCUUUAAUUAUUAUAUAUAUUUAUAUAAUUAUUUUUUUUAAAACAACUCUUAAAAAAUAAGUGAAAGUAAUUGAAAACAACUCAAAGAUAUUUGAUGAAAACACUCUAAUUUGUAUUUUUGAGAAUAAAAAAAUAAAUAAAUAAAUUUCUAGUUAUCAAAUGUAUUUUUUAAUUCUUUUAUUCUAAAAAAUAGAAAAUCGUUUUUGAAAAUAAUUAUUAAACAACAUUCUUAAAAAUUCACUCGUUACAAUCUAGAUUUAAUGCAAGAAUGAUUGAAGGAGUCCUCCAAUAGAACCCAAAGUUAUAAACAUGAACAAGAAGCCCUAGAAACACCAAAGAUCUCAUAUGGUAUAUAUAUGAGCUUGAUUGAGAACUGUUUUAAAUUCAGUUUUUUUUUUUUUUUUUUUUUUUUGUUUUCAAAGUCAAAACAAGUUUACUUUUAAUUUUUACUUCUUUUUUUUAAUUUUAUAAAUAACAGUUUUUUAAUAAUUUAUUUUGAAAACAUGAUUAUUUUUAAAACUUAUAAUGAAAAUAGGAAUUUUUUUUUUAAUAUCAUGGUUAUUUUCCCUUCUUUUAAGGAGGGCUAUUUUAAAAAUAAAUUUACAAAUAUGAAAAAUGAUUCAAACUAAAGCAGUACAAAUAAAAAACAUUUUUAAGAAAUAUUUAAAAAUAGAGAAAAUUAUUUGAGAACAUUUGAAGUCCUUAAAUAGACUUUUGUUUUAGAAAAGGCAAGAUAAUUAUUUUUGAAAAUUGUUUUCAUAAUGAUAUGCAAAAACCUACGUAAAAACCAUAAUUAUAAUCGGCCACAUAUCAAAUCUACUAAAUAUGAAAAGUAAGUACAUAAUUAUAUUUGACUUAGAUGCAAGGAGGAAAAUGUCGCGAUAUUAUCGCCGAAAUAUCGUGUGUCGAAGGGUAUCGACACGAUUUUUCUUGCAGAAAUAUCGGCCAGUCGAUUUUUCGGGAUAAAUCUCGAGAAAUCGGCAAUUUAUCGCGAUAUAUCGGCGAUUUUUCCUCGAUAUAUCUUCUGGUCAACGCGGGUCAACGGAGUCAACACGCUACAGUGAAAGUCAAAUGUGCUACAAUGUCCCCGCUACAAUCACCUCCCCAAACAAAUUGCCAAAUUGCUUCCGAGGGGAUUUGAACCAGCCUUCUUGCCAUUUGGGCUAACUCGCCCUUAUGAUAUAUAUUGCAUUAAACAUAUAUAUACUUAAAGUCCUUAUAUAAAGAAAAUGUUAAAAAAAUAUUUUAAAGAGCAAAUUAAUUAUAAUUAUUUUAUAAUUAAAAGCAAAAUUUUCUUUUAAUUAAUUACCAAAAAUAUAAAAAUUAUAUAAUUUUCUUCAUAAUGUUUUUAAUAUCAUUAAUAAUUAAUUAAAUAUUAAAAAAUUAUAUAUAUAUAUAUAUAUAUAUAUAUAUAUAUUAUAAUUUAUUUUAUAUUGUUUAAUACAAUUGAAUUAAAUGGAUCAUAUUUUAAUAUUAAUAUAUAUUUUAAAAUUAGACAUAUUGUAAUCAAAUAUCAUAAUAUUAUAUGUAAUUUAAUAAUAAAUGUACACUUAUAAAAUUCAUAUUUUUAUCGAUGCAUACAAUAUUAUUAUCAAAUAUGAUAAAUCAUGUUAUACAUAUAUCAAAAUUUUCAAUAAAAUAACUUUAAAAUGUCUAUUAUACUUCUAAUUAUAUUAUUAUGAGGUUUUCUUUACAUUUUCAUGAGUUUUAAACAAUUUUAAGCACCAAUAUUUUUUUCCAAAAUAUCCACCGAUAUAUCUCCGAUAUAUCCAAUAUAUCUCCGAUAUCUCCGAUAUAUCCGUAAAAUCGAAGUACCGAUAUAUCCGUGAUUACCGAUAUUUUCAUCAUUGCUUAGAUGCAACCUUCUUCCAAAUGACAUACUUUAGUCAAUACUUAUAUUUUUUCGUUUCACUUCUUUGAUACAACACCUCAUGGAUUUAUUGUUUAAUUUAUUUGUAAUUAUAAAACUAUUUUUCAUUUUUAAUAAGACUUGAAUUAAUUUAAUAAAUAUUAUAUAAUUUGAAUUUAUAAUUCUUUUUAUAAAAUCAAAGUAUAUUAAAAAAAAAACAAUUUAUCCGAAGAAAGUUUUUUAUUUUUUAUUUUUUAAAACCGAUUUUAAAAAUAACUAGCUAGACACCCUUAUUUUGAUAAAAUACGAAAUAAAAGUGUAAAAACAACAUGGCCAAAUAGGGGCUUAAAUUUUAUUUUUAAAACAUUUUUUUACACUAAAGUGCAUUUUAAAAACACCAUCAAAACCAACUACAAGUUAUGCUUCUUCCCGUAAUAGAAAUAUUUUAGGCCAAAAUAGAACCUCCCCAAAUAAAGACCCUAUACUAAACUCCUUUUCAUUUUAUUAAUACAAAAGUGGGGAAAAAAGGUCUAUGCUCACCUAAAAAACAUGAAUAUUGUGAAUUCACCAUUUCUAUAAGGAAGUUGAAAACUUCAAAAUUUUAUCAACAAAUUCUCUAAAAUCCUCAAAAUAUAUAGGGCCUGUUUCACAAAGUUUUUUAAAAUUUGUUUUUAUAAAUUGCUUUUAAAAUAUAGAAUAAAUAACAGUUUUUUAGAUUUUUUGAAAAAUAAGAGUGUUUGGUAAGAUGUUUUUUUUUUUUUUUUUUUUUUUAAGAAUUAAAUAAAAAAUAAAAAAAUUGUUUAGAUAAAAGAAUUUGUAUUGUUUUUAAAAACAAUGUCUUACUUUUAUGUUAUAAAAAUUUUAUUAAUUUAAUUUAUAAUAAUAUGAAAUGAAAUUCAAGUUAAGUCUUAUUAAAAAAUACAAAUUAAAUCUAUAAUUAUGCAUGAGUUAAAGAUAAAUAUAUAUUUUUUAAAACUAUAAAAUAAAUUUUCUAUUAUAGUGAAACAAAAAUUACUAUAAAAUAAAAAUAAUUUUAAUAUUCAUUUUUAAUACAAGUCAAAUAAGUACUUUAAUUAAUUUUUUUUAUCAUGAUUUCUUAUGUUUUUUUUUUUUUCUAGAAAUUAUUUUAAGUAAUAUAACUAAUUUUUUUUUUAAUGUUUUAUAAAAAUAAGGAUAUUUGGCAAGUUGUUUUUAUAAAAGGAUUUUAAAAAUAAAUGGAUUUUUUUUUUUUUUAAAAAAAGAACAAAAUGAUUUGUUUGAAUAAAUUGUUUUGAUUUUGUAAAAACAUUUUAAAUUCAAUUUAUAUAAUAUUAAUUAAUUAAAUUAAAUUGAAGUUUUAUUGAAAAUAAAAAUAAUUUUGUAAUUAAAAUUAGAUUAAAAAAUAUAUAGGUUUUAAUAAAUCGUAAAUAGUAAUAUUAUAAUAAAAUUAUAAAUUAUAUUUUUAACAUAAAAUAUACUAUUUAUUACAUAUUAAAAAAAAUAUUUUAUUAUAUUAAUAAUUUUAUGGUAUUAAUGAGUUUAUUAUUUAAGUUUUAAAUUAUUUUUAAAAAUUAAUAAAUUUGUUAACAAAUGCAAUGUACUAAAUGUGGUUUAAUUUGGAGUUAAUUUGUUUAGGGAAAAAAAUAAAAAAUAAAAAUCUUAUGUAAAAGAGAAAUAAUAGAGUGUGUGUGUUUUUUUUUAUUAUUUUUAAAAAUCAGUAAAAAGAACUUUUACUUAUUGCCUAAAAAUUAUUCUCUAUUUUAUUUUAUUUUUUAAAUCUAGAAAUAGAUAACAAUAAUAAAAAAAAUUAAAAAAGAAAAAUGUUUUUUAAAACUCAGACUUAUAAUUGCUUUUGUUUCUCAUUCGCACCCCUGGAUUCCUGGAUUCUAAACACAAAAUUAAGUUGAAUCGUCCAUCUAUCUUGUAAGCCAAGAAUUCACAUAGAAGAAAUAAUCGGAAUUUGAUUUGAUAUCAGAUUUAGAGUGGCUCACUACUCAUGCAUUGUCCCACAAUAGUAAUGCUUUGGGCCGAGAUAAACCCAUUUGUGGGCCCAAAUAAAACCCCUGGUUUGAAAACAUCGAUUUUACAGUGGCCCAAAAGAUUAUCUAUGAGGGGAAGAUAACUUGGAAGUCAAGCAAACACAUUUAUCGCUAACUUUUCUCUAAUUAUAAAAUUAUAACUUGGUCUUCUACACGUCUCACUUAAGAGGCGGAGCCACUUGGCACUACCUUUCCAUAUUGUAAAAGGAGAAGAAGCAGAAGGAGAAGAUUCUUAUGCCAUUCCACACACCAUGGCUAGUACUGCUAUGCUGCUUGGCCCGCCGGCUCUCCGCCAUCCUAAUUCUCCCGCCGGCACUGUCUUUGAAGAUGGGGUCAUUCUAACGGAUUCCCUGAUCGUCCGCACCAGUAAUCUGGAGCUUUCUGAAAAACCGCCACUGGAAUCCCUGGCGUAGUGCUCUGUCAGUGGGGAUAUUGCUAUGGAUUGUUUGGAUUCCCAAGCCCACAAUCUUCAUCUUCCCGGGAAACCGCCGAUGGGCUUAACGGAAAACAAGUCUCCGACCUUUUUGUCUUCCGGGAACCCGUGCUUGGACUUCUUCUUCCAUGUGGUUCCCGAUACGUCGUCUGAUGAUCUGAUCCGACGGUUUGAGUUGGCUUGGGAAUUCAAUCCGCUGACGACGUUAAAACUGAUAUGCAACUUGAGAGAGGUGAGAGGCACCGGAAAAUCUGACAAAGAGGGUUUCUACACGGCGGUUCUCUGGCUCCACGACCACCAUCCCAAAACCCUAGCCUGCAAUGCUAGGGUGUUGGCCAGCUUCGGUUAUUUCAAGGAUUUUCUCGAGAUUCUCUACCGGCUUCUGGAGGGCCCUAAAAUUCGAAGAAUCGAAAAGAAAGACUGGCUGGAUCGAAAAGGAAGGAAGAAAAAUUCCCGGAAAAGGAACUCAAUAUUCAAGCGAGAAAAUAGGCCUGGAGUUGAAUUUCCUGUAGAAGAGAAGGAUGUGGAGUAUAUGGUGGAAGAAUUUGUGGAUAAAGAAAAGGCUAGGGUACUGAGAAAGGAGAGAGAACUUGCUCUUGCCAAAAGAGCCCUGCACAAGUAUUCUACUGAUUCUAAUUAUCAGUUCUUACAUGAUCAGAUUUCAGAUUUAUUUGCUGAACUUCUGAAAUCUGAUAUUCAGUAUUUAAACUCCGGUGAGCUUUACAAGAUUAGUCUCGCAUCCAAAUGGUGUCCCACAAUUGAUUCUUCUUAUGAUAAAUCCACCUUGAUAUGUGAAAAUAUUGCUCGAAAGGUUUAUUCUCGCGAGGAAUAUAUAUCCAGAAUACCAAGGAAUUGAGGAGGCUCACUAUGUUAAUAGAGUCAGGGAUAGGUUGAGAAAACAAGUACUUGUUCCAUUACGUAAGGCCCUGGAGUUGCCAGAGGUUUUCAUGUGUUCGAACCAGUGGGGAUCACUUCCCUACAACCGUGUGGCUUCAGUGGCCAUGAAAUCAUACAAGAGCCUCUUCUCAAAACAUGAUACAGAGCGGUUUGGUGUGUAUCUUGAGAAAGUGCAAACUGGGAAGGCUAAGAUUGCAGCUGGUGCAUUACUUCCCCAUGAGAUUAUAGCUUCAUUGAAUGAGGAGGAUGGCGAGAAAGUUGCAGAGCUUCAGUGGGCGAGAAUGGUGGAAGAUUUAUCAAAGAAUGGGAGGCUCACAAAUUGCAGUGCGGUAUGUGACGUAUCAGGAAGUAUGAGUGGAACUCCAAUGAAGGUGUGUGUGGCUCUGGGGCUGUUAGUUUCAGAGCUCAGUGAAGAUCCAUGGAAAGGUAAUGUAAUUACUUUCAGUGCAAGUCCUGAGCUUCACAAGAUCCAAGGAGACAGCCUUGUAUCCAAGACUGAAUUUGUGAGGAUGAUGGAAUGGGGUGCGAACACUGAUUUUCAGAAAGUUUUUGACAGAAUCUUACAAGUAGCAGUGGAGGGAAAUCUGAGUGAAGAUCAAAUGAUAAAGAGGGUUUUCGUUUUCACUGAUAUGGAGUUUGAUGAAGCUUGUGGGAGGUAUAACUAUUGUGAAUAUGACUAUGAUAUGGAGGAAAUUGAUGAGAGUCAGAAGGCAUCUCAGAAGUGGGAGACAGAUUAUGAAGUGAUACAGCGGAAAUUCCAGGACAAAGGAUAUGGAAAAGUUCCGGAGAUAGUGUUUUGGAACCUUAGAAACUCAUCAGAGACUCCAGUGAUGGCCACAGAGAACGGGGUGGCCUUAGUAAGCGGGUUUUCGAAGAAUCUGUUAGACCUUGUUUUUGGAAGGAGGUGGAAUUCUGACCCCUCAGGAUGUGAUGGAAUUAGCCAUCUCUGGUGAAGAUUACAAGAAACUUGUUCUAUUUGAUUAAGAUAUCAAGAGAUUUAUCAAUAAUAAUAUGUUUUUUUUUUUCUAUGUGAAAUACAUGUAAUAUUAACUAUGGAGUUAUCAAAGUUCUGGAAAUUUAAUUAUUUCUUCUUUUCAAGUUUUGUUUGUCUUUGUUAGGAAUUCCCCUUGGGCGGACCCAGCUGGGGACUUGGAUUGAGGAAGUAAGGAGGCGAAAUUGUGUUCUUCUAUGGACAGAGAAAAAAGAUAAAAAUAAAAAAUAAAAAAGGAGGUUAUUUGCAUUUGGAUGUCAUGUGGUUUCAGGGUACAACUACAAGUUCGAAAUUGUACAUAAUGUGAAAAUUCCUGUGUGGAGAACAGCAUAAAUAUGUAUCUCAGUGUGUUUUGUUUGAGCUAAUUGGCAAAUUCGCUUUAAACAUGGUCACAUGGAUGCAUAUUUAUUUGUGAAAUGAUAGUAGUCGAUUACUUGGUCAGUAAGGUUUGUAUCUCUAACUCCAACAUCUUAUUGUAGUCUUUUAAAAUGUCAAAAGUUUAAUGCUAGCUUGAGAAAUUUUGGAAUGGAGACAUUCUAAACAAAGUUAAUAAUCCAUGAGACUUGGUAAAACCGAUCAGAUGAUGCUUACGUACAUGAAUGCCUUCUUUAAGCCGUAUCCUAUUUUCAUUGAAUGAGACGUGCCAUCUAGUUUUGUUCUUGUCUUGAUUGGAUCAUGAUCCCGGGAAUUGAUUACUGUUCUGAAUUUGCGAAUGUUCAAGGUAUUAGAGAAAGUUAAUAUUAUCGUUAAUUUACAUAUUAGUAUUUAUCUAGUUAUUAUAUAUUAGUUUGAAUUAUAAUAUAAUAUAGAAUUUGAAUCAAGUUUACUAUUAGUUUGAAUUACAAUAGGAAAUAAAGUUUGAAUUAUAGUAUAACUCAAAUAUAUUUGUAUAUAAAUAUCCAUCUUUAUCAAUGAGAAUAGUAAACCAUAUUUUUCUCUAUCUUCUUCUUUCUCUAUAUAUAUGGUAUCAAAGCCUCCAAAUCCUAAACCUAGUCUCAACUUAGAGCAAAUUUAGGGUGCAGGGUUUAGGCCCCGCCUCCCCCAACCCUUACCACAAAUGGUAGUGACCUUGUUAUGCCUAUGUAUUGUCAAUGCCUCAUUUUCUAUGGUCUUCAAUACAAUAUCUAGUUUCAAUGUCUCUUUCCUUACUAUCUCCAAUGCAAUAUAUUGAUUUCAAUAUCUCUUUACAACCAAGAGCUCCAAAUUUUCCUGGUUCAAAUCUACCAUAAUUUUUAUUCUCCUUUGCUUUUUACCAAUAUUAGUUCCCCUAAUUUAAUAUAUAUCUCUUUAUUACCUUCAACUCUACCUCUCUCUUUCUUUAAAAGCUUCCUCAAAGAUUUGAUUGCUUUCUUGCAUGUUUUGGGAAAACAAACAUGCUCAUAUUCUAUUACCUCUACUUGAGAUCUGCCUUAUACUCUACCUUCUUCUUUACCUCCUAUAUCAUCUACUACAUUAGCUUCAAAAACAUUAUUUAGUUUGAUGCUAAAUAAGGCUCCUAAUCCUACCCUUCCUUCAACUAACUUUCUUUUACAAGUCCCUCAAAGUUUUUUUUUUUUUUUUUUUGGAAAUUUGGCUUAGAAAGAUUUCAUUACUCUUACCUAAUCUUUCAACCAUCAAGUCGAAUCCACUUAUCUCUUGAAUCCAAGGAGACUACCCUCCACAAAAACAAGGAGAUUGACCCCCACAAUAACAAAGAGAUUGUCCUCCAUAGAAACAAAGAGAGCUUCCUUCAUGGAAGCCGAAUACAUCGCAAUCUAUUUUCUUUCUCUCAAGAUCAAAUCUCCAAUCGGAGCUCCAUCUUGUGGGGAUAUAUUAGAAAAAGUUAAUAUUAUCCUUAAUUUACAUAUUAGUAUUUAUCUAUAUUAUAUAUUGAAUUAGAAUAGAAUAUAGAAUUUGAAUUAAGUUUACUAUUAGUUUAAAUUACAAUAGGAAAUAGAGUUUGAAUUAUAGUAGAACUCAAAUAUAUUUAUAUAUAAAUAUCCAUCAUUAUCAAUGAGAAUAGUAUUCCAUAUUUUUCUCUUUCCCUGAGGCUUCAGAAUGUGAUCUUGAACAUUUGAUCUUUUGGAUUCUUCUUGUUUCGGUGGUUUAAUAUAAUGGAAUGUUUAAUUAUAGCCUACUUUAUCACCAUGGAUGUGCUCCUGCAGAUUUCUUGAGGGUGAUGGUUAUUUUGUCAUGUUUCUUGAAUGGUUUGCAUCAGCUGCCUGAGCUGUUGUUGCUGGUCACUUUUGCAACCAGGGAAAGAAUCAUGGCUUUGGAGAAGCCAGCUUCUGUUUUUGUUGCCCAGCUGUUAGUUCACUAAGAUUGGGGGUCCUAACAUGUAUGUAUAAUCAUAAGCAAGGAAAUUUUAUGUCUUACGCUAGAUAGGUACCAUGAUAUGAUGUUUGAUUGAUUUAUUAACUCUACCUGUUUCAAAAGGCAUCAACAUUAAUUUUACCCUUUUAACACAUUGGAUUGUUUGACCUUACGAGAUUUUCUAUUUCUGUACUAUUUGAACUGCAAUCGUUAUGGUCCUUAGGUCUCUAAACCUUCGUUUAAAAUAAAAGUAAGGAGCACACAUAGUAAAAGUUAAUUUUGGGUAACUUUUAAAACAAAGAGAAAAGUAAAAGUUGUUUUUGAGAAAAACAUAUAGAAAUUGAAAGAUUUUUUAUUUUGAGAAAAAAAAGUCAUAGAAAAGAAAUAAUAUCCCCAUAUAAGUAGAUAUGAUCUAUCCGAAGUGUAGCUACUCUCCUGGAUUUAUUCUAACAUUUUAAAAUUUUUCUCAAUGGGCAAAGGAAUAUCAAAUCAAGCUUGAGUAGGAUUAAUUUCUUAAUUUUUAAAAUAACUUAUAAUUAAAAUUUUUUGGUGUUUUCUUUUUUGGACAAUUUUUUAUGAAGACUCUGAAUCAUGCAAGAGAUAUGGUUAUUUUAAAAAAAAAAAUAAUUUAAAACUCAAAUACAUAAUCAAUGUCACAAAUUUAUAAACAAAAGGUUUUUAAAAAAUACUAUUAUUUCCCCUCUACACAUAAUUUUACUUUUCCGAUUUAUUUAUUUUUGUUGGAAAACAGUCUUCAAAUCAAGUAAAAUUAAUAUGUUAAAUUUGUUAAACAAAUAAAUUUUAAAAUACAAUUUGGAACUCAAAAAUCAAUUCAAGUAAUGCUAAAAUUCAAAAAAUCAAAUUUGGAAUAAAAUGACUUUGUAAAUUUUUUUACUAAACAAAUGAAUUUUAAAUCAAGUGAGAUUUAAUACAUUGGAUUUUUAUGAGAAUAGUAAUUUUAAAAAUUAAUUUGGAACUCAAAAAUAGACACAAUAAAUACCAAAAAUCAAUGAACCAAAAUUGGUUUGGAAUAACUCCAUAAUUUUUUAUUUAUUUAUAUAUUUAUUUUUUUGUGCACACGAAUUUCUUACUAAGCAUAUUGCUUCCAAAUUGAGAAAAAUUUACUAUUUAGAUUUUUUUAAUGAGUUUAAUGGUAUUUAAAAAUAAUUCAAAAAUUCGAAAAUUGACUAAUUUAAUAUUAUAAAUUCAUAAACCAAGACUAAUUCAAAAUGCAUUGGGGGCUAAGGGGGUUGAAAUUAAUGCUCCAUUUGGUUGUGGCCACCAAUUGGCAAUGGCCACCAAUCAACCAAUCAAGGUGGCUAAGGGGGUUGAAAAUAGGGACAAUGGGGUGGGUUUGGGACAGGACACUCAUAUCCCAUUCCCAUCCCAAUUACACAGUUAUUUCCCAUCCUUAUUCCAAACUUGUGUUGGGGCAAGUUGAUUUGUUCCCAUCUUUGUUAACGAAAUGACUAAUAACCUCAUCCUCUCCUUGUCUUAGAUGUACAUUUUCUCAAAUUUGGUCAGGUAUGAUUGAUUCAAGCCCUAACCUUAAUUGGUAAUGAGUGGAUACCACACCUAAUUGCAUUCUUCUUUCGUUGCAAAAUAAUGAGAUUAUAAUAAUCUAGCAAAUAAGAAAAAAUAGUAUGGAAGUUCAAAUUAACACCAUAACUAUCAAUAAUUUUAAGCUUAUAGAUGACUUAAAUGAUUGAAAACUAAUGCAAAAUACUAAAAAAAAAAAAAAUCAUCUAAAGAAUUCACAAGAGAAUAGAACGAACAAAACCAAAUAGGAACAUGGGUCAACAUUAGUUACAGAUUUUGAUCCCUUUCAAGGCCAAUCUUUGAACCAAGACUUCAUCAAAUCUACUACUUCAAAGGCUUUUGUGUUCUUCUUGAGUUGUACUCUGGAACAAAGACUUCGAGGUGAUGCUUUAGAUGAUUGCAUUACACAUAUUUAGGGUAGGGAGAUUGGAGAAGCUUGAAGAUGCCAACGAUGGGUACAAUUGAGUGGUCAAUAAGAACAAUGUGGCCUAUGACUAGUUUGAUGUCAUGGUAUAGGAGUUUUGGGCAUUGAGGUGAAAGCAAGAGCAACAUGGAAUUGAUUUCAAAGUCUUUCAAUUAGUGUAAAGGAGGAAGAAGAAGUGGUAUUGAUCCUAGAAAUAGUGUUUUAGGUGUUGCAUUAGAGGAAAAGAAAAAGAAAAAGAAGGAACCAUUGGAAUUAGUACGAGUGUGAAGAGAGAAGUGUAUACAUAAGGGGAAGUAAAAGCAAAGUUCUAAAAAUUUAUUUUUUUAUUGGUGGUGUAUGGUUGCAUGAUUAUCCCUAUAAAUAAUAGGAGUUUUUUGGUGUUCUACUAGUAGUUGAAGGAUAAUUUCAUAAGAUAAUAUUUAGAGCGGGGUGGGGUGAGUUGUGACAAAAUCCAUACCCGUCCCAAACAUUGGUUCAGGUUUUUAAAAUAUUUUCAAACUUAUCAUAUACCCAAUUUUAUAUUUCAUACUUGUCCUAAUAGAGACAGGUUAGUCAGGGUUACUUGAGUAGCCUACAAAACUAUCAUCCCUAGUUGAAAUGCUCUUUUUGGCAGUGGCAGCUAGAAGCUCGAUCGAUUGACCUACAAGACUAGUUGUCAUCAUUUUAAAAAGAGUUUUGGCUUUGGUUGUGAGUGCAAUUGAAUCUAAACUAACAUUUCCUUAAUGCAUCUACUUCAAUCCUAAACUUCUUACUUAAGCCUCAAUUGUUGUUAAGAUUUUGGAAAACCCAUUUCCUUAAAUUGUAAAUUUAAGAAAAAAAAAAUUAAAAGUGAGACAUUUCUUGAUUGAAUGUUGUUAAAGGUCCCUUGGAAUUAAGACUUGGUUGAAGCCUUGGAAGAUUAGCAGAACUCUCAACUUAUGUUUGAACCUUGAGGAGAGUGGACGUAGGCCAAAAUUUUGUCAAACCAUUAUACAAAUUGAGUUUGAAUUCUCAUUUCUUGAUUUCUUAUUUAUUUGCUUUUUCUUAUUAUUACUUGAAUUGUCAUUUGCAUUCAUUAAUGUUAAAAUUGGUUAUAAUUAGCCAACACUAAUUCUCUUUCCCCUUCCCUUAAUUUCUUGGGUGUAAACCUAGGUUGGAUUAACUAGAUUUUAUCAAAUCUAUUAAGAUGGUAAAAGAAUAAUUAUUCUUAACAUACAUAAGAUCAUCUUCAAUCAAAUGACUCAUUGGCUGAUAUGUUGAAUUUGCUUAUUACUUGCAACUCAAAAUUGUGUUCUAGUUGAUAUGUCAAGUCCUGAGUGUAUGGACAUUAAAUUUGUAGUACGUGAUGAGUAUUUAGAUGGUCCAAUUCCAAGAAAGUGAUUGAAAACUAGUUCAAGAAAGGUGCAAAAGGGAAUUGUUUUGGUAUUUUCGUUUUUAUUCUUGAAGGUGGCAGAGCUAAAAUUUGAGAAAUCAAGCAAAACAUACUGAAAUUACAUUGAAAGAAAGAAAAUGGGAGUUAAUGUCUUGCAGUACAUGAUAAGGACUUCAUGCAUGUAGUGUGACCCAUGUCUUGGACUGAUGCCACACUCACGGUUACACUUAUACCCUUAGUUCUCUCUUUACUACCUUAGCUAACCUAGAUCAGGUUAUGAGAUAGGCACCUCACCACACCAUUACUUGCCCAUUAAUUAGUGACAUUUUCAAGCAAUGAGGUAACAUGGUGACACCAAGAGGGUAUAUUCCUCACCCCCAACAAGCCUAGACCUGGUCUAAAAAAAAUGGAGAAAAAUGACGUGUUGUUAUGCAGAAAUAUAGCAACCAUGCCUUCCUCAUUACUUAGAUUCAGAAUGUGAAGGUGAAAUUGAGAAACAGAAACUCUUGAAACCAAAAUGAAAAUUGAUACUUUUACGAAGAAUUACAACAACAUUAGAGGAAGACUACAUUCUUCCUCUUUAUUCCUACAUUUCUACACUACUUCUACUCCACUCCAUAUUUCUACAUACAUCUUUAAUCAGUCUUCCCUCCUUUAUAUAGAGCCAUCUUCACACAAAUUCCGCAAGGUAGAAAAGAGGAAUGAAACUUGGAGCAAGGUUCGACUACUGGCUGUAGCUUGUCAAGGCUGAAAGUGAACUUUUUUUCUUGGCUUUUCUGGGCAUAGGUAGUAACUUGUAGGUUCCUUUUUGGAAUGAAAAUGGUACGGCUAGAACAUGUGGCACUCUCUUGUUGGAUGAUGUGUCAAGCAUGUGGCAGCCAUCUAGUGGAGAUUAUGUCAAUUUUGGGAUGGAGAGUUGGCAUCCAAUUGCAAAGAAAUAUGACAUCUACCAACAUGCAAUGUCAACCUAUGUAGAUCAUAUGAAGAUAGAGAGGAAAAAUAUAGAAAUGGAUAUAUAACUAGAACUAGCUUUUUAUUAAAUGAGACGGAGAGCCAACAAUGAAGGAAAAUCAAAAUUUUUGGCUCAUAUCAAAGAAUUCACAUUGUGUUACCCUAGGUUUUCUUAAAACUUACUUUUAUGAUAAUAAAAAAUCAUUAUUGUUUAAUCCUUUGUUUUAAACGCAUGUUUAGCAGGUUGUAAAAUGUAAAUAUCUUUCGAAAUUCAAAUAUGAAGAUAUGACAUCAUUUCAAGCAAUAUAGUCUCUAGGAAUUAAUGUAAAGCUAAAUUAAGGUGCAAUUAAGUUAGUUCAAUGCAUUAUUUUAAGAAACUUGACCUAUCAAAACCUUGUCUUACUUCAAAGCCUCUUUUUCUUUUCUUCCAACUAACAUUUUAAUAAGUGAUCGCAAAAGUACAAAAUUAGAUGAAAUCCAUUUCAAUGGUUAAAAUGAUCAAAUUCAAACUUUUUCUAAGUAUCUUUUAAAAGCAUCAAUAUUGAAAGACAAUUUUAUAUUUAGUCAAAGCUUGGACAGAGCCAAAAAGCACACAAAAAUUUAUAUUUUCUAGCUCUCUACCUUGGAUGGUCUCUUGAUCCUACUUGGAGAUGUGCAUAAAUAAAAGGAUUUGAAAAUGACAAUUGACUAAGUAUGUAGUCAAUCAAUUACUCAUUGAUUGACUAGUUGAUCAAUUAACUUUGCAACAUCAUAUGCAAUCCUAAUAGCUAGUCAUCUAAUCAACUAGGUAGUAAAUCAAUAGGCCAAAAAUAUGUUUAUAAUGACUAUUUUGUACAAAAACCACUUAUAUAGUUAAAUAUAAUGCAUUUCAUUUAUAAAUCUUCUAAUUCUUGAAUAACAAUCCUAUCAUCCUUUGAAAGUUUUUAUUACACCUUUUCUACAUUUGUUCUAAAACUUAUACAUCACCCUUAAUUGUACCAUGAGAACCUAGCAUUUUUUUUUUUUUUUUUGUAUUUCAUCAAAGUUAGCUCUUGUACUCAUUGUUGUAUUAUUUUUAUUGUAACUUAGAGAGCGAGUGUUUUCAAGUGAGUGAAAUUGACUUGUAAAUAUUGUAAAGAUUCAUUGAUAUGUAUCUCAAACUAGGUGUACAAGUUGAAACAUUUGCUAGUAGAUUUUCUCAAGAUUUAGAAUGAGCUUAAGGCUAUCGAAUUAGGUGGGGUUGCGCCAAACCAUAUCACAUCGUUGUUUGCACCUUUUUUUUCACUCUCUUUUACUUAGUUGCUCUAUAUAUAUUGUCUAGCAAUAUCCUAAAGGCUUGAUGGGCUAGGGAGCAUCCCUCUGAAUGAAAAAUUUUCAUUCAAUUCUUAGUUGUAUUACGCAUAUAUAAAAUGCCUCAUUGUUUUAAUGGUAUUCAGUCGUGGCACCACAGAUAUGGACAUCUAAAUUUUAAAAGUUUGAAACUUUUAGCUAAAGAAAAUAUGGUGCUUUGCCUUUUUGGAAAGCAUGUUGAUGAAAUCCAUGAGAAUUGUAUACUUGGAGAGCAACAUCGAGAUAACUUUUUUUUUUUCUUUUUUUAUAAUGCAUUGUUUGUCCAAAUUCCGUACAAAUUAGGCCACCACAUGUUCAUAAUUCUCCCUUCUUGAAUUUGAAAACUCGGACAAUUUGACAAUGCGACACCUAAGUCCGGUUUUUAAAUGCUAAAGUGAAAGGGCAGGUAUGGACCAUUGAAAUGUGAUAACAACUUUUGGCCUUUUCCUUUUCUCUGUAGCCAUGUUGUCUCUUUUUAAUUUCUUUUGCAUGAUUUUCUUACCUAAACAGAAUCAUAGACUUGUUUAAUCUCUAAGUGGGAUUUCAUCCACCUUAAGCUACUGUAUUAUAUCUCGGUGGAGGACAACCGACAUAGAGCACAUGCAAGUGGGUAUAUGGGACAUGAAAUAUCUUCUUAUAAAGCUUGUUUUGCAGUUAAAUUAAUUGGAUAAGUAGACACUGGCGUUUCUAAAUUUCCCACCUAAGAUAAUGACCUUAUCCUUGACUGCUAGAUACACAAACAAUUAUACCUUCAAAAUCUACUGUGAAGUGCUUCAUGUAUGUGUGAAGUAUUAGAAAUUUCUUUCUUGGCAACUUGUUUUUUUCUUUGCGGUCUACUGAUAGGUUUGACUAAAAUUAUAUUCCCUGUCCUGCUAAUUAAUUUUCACGUGCAUGCUCAAAAGAAGAGUAUGACCUUAGUGCACCAAAAUCACUUUCAAUAAUUUGUGAUAAGUUUUUUUGCAUGACAUUAACCUUAUUCAUUUAGAUAAUGUUUAGUUCUCAUAAAUAUUAAGAAAAUGAAAAUAAAUAUUAAGAAAAAUAUUCUUAUAUUUGAUUGUAUUAUGAAAAAUAUCAUAAAAAAUCAAAUAUAAUUAAAAUUAAUUAAUAAUUUAUAUAUUUUAAAAUUAUUUAAUUUUUAUAUUAAAGAUAUAAUAUAAAUGAAAUGAGUUUUAAGUAUUAUAUAAAAAUGAUUUAUUUAUUUAUUUAUAUAUAUAUAUAUAUAUAUAUUUAGUUUUUCUCUUUAUUUUAUUUUCCUUAUGUUUUCCUCACAUUUUCCGGAAUCAAAGAUAGGGAAAUCCACAAUUACCUUCAACUGAGUAGAUUCUAUUGUUUUAGCAAUGUUAGGCUGCUAACUUGUGGUGGUACGAACCAAAUGAUCCAUGUUAAUCUUGGCUUGAUUUAAUUUGGCUCUAUCUCAGAGAACUCAAGGAUCACGUCAACUCUGGUUUCUACUAUUCAGGUCCAUUCCCAGAUGAACUGGUUCAAAUUUGAGAAAAUGGUAACAGACCUUUAGUGAUAUUGGUUUGGAGCCAGUUGCCAAACCUGCCCUGAGCUUUACCACUAAUGUCAAGGGACAAAGCCAUUUGAACAAAAACAAUAGCUUCAAGAGACUGAAUCGUGGAUGAAAUCUGAUCCACAUUUCUUCUCAUUUUGGGAAAAAAUGAGGACUUAACCACAAAGAUUCUACUGCCUCAUAGUGCUUUUCCUGAUCUAAGGUUGGCUCGUUUCCCAAAUUGUGAGGUGCACGUGCCACUCUCACGCUCAGGAGUGUAUCCACGUGGUGGACAUAAGAUGGUGGCUUAAUAUCUGGUGUCGGUGGCUUUACUUUACUAGGAGAGUAGUGUGUCUUCAUCUCAUUCACUGCCAGAGGGUGGCGUAAGCAGUGACGCUAAGGUGGGGCACAGUCAAUAUCAUUUGCAUUUGACCAUUAUAAUUUUCUCCCGGCUUUAAAGUAACCUUAUCGUGAUAAUGGAUUACUAGCACUAGUUCAGAUGACAGUCAUGUUAAAUUCGGACCAUGUUUGUGUCACAUUAUCAGCAACCAUGUGCUUGUGGUUCAUGCUAUCUGCAACUAAACUUGAUAUAUAACCAGGUGAACUUCAAUCUAAAUUCUGGAAGUACUCAUGUGAUAGAUGGUGCCUGUCUGCAGUGAGUGUAUCUAUAAGAGGGAAGGCUUGGCAAAUGUUCAGUUUUCUGGGAAUUCAACAGGGAUCUAAAAUAGAUUGUUUUCUUUGCUGAUUUCAAUGGUUGAAAUUUGAGAAGAUUGUGUCCACAUAACACAACUAUUACUGGUCCUUCUGUUGCAAUUUAUCCUCUAAGGCUCUAACAUGUCUUCCAAUUCCCACUUCCCACUUCCCUGUUACUCCAGGAAAGCUGUUUCUGUCAUUGUGAAGAAGAAAAGAGACUGUACAUAUCGAUGCUUUUAAGUGGACUGGAGAAUUCAUAUCAGGUGGUCUGCAGCCAUACAUGCCACUUUGUGAAGGUUGGAACAGUCAAUCACUAGGCUAUAUUAGUGGGGCCCAGCCACUUCAAUCAAGGACAAGUCUUCAUACUUAAAGUCAAAUUCUGCCUUUAGUCUCAUUAUAAAUUGCUGUUUAAAUAUCAAGCAAACAUUUGUUUAAUGCGAUUAAGACAGCACUAACUCAAUACUUGUUCUAUUUUUGGAUGCAAAUGCUUGAUAGUUUCAUCAUUGGAGGGGAUAAAGGUGCAUUCAUGAUUAUGAAUACUUGUAGUUAUAUUUUCAUUCUCUUUUUUCUCAAUGGGACUUGUUGGCACAAUUUUGCUGUUCAGAAACCUACCUCUCCAUGGAAAAUCAGUUGUGAUUGAUAUUACUGGAUAUAUUCAAGAAAGCUAAAUGUAGAUAGCACAAAAUAUUAUCGACAUAAAUAGCAUUAACAGCGUACGUAUGUCUCAAUGCUCAUCAGCUAUAAGCAAGGGGCAAACACUUACUAUGAGCAACUUACGUCAAAAUUCCGGAAUAGGACAUAGAAGUGACAGGUCAGUAAAUAUAGAACACUGCAUAUGAGUCACAAGAAAGGAAAUUACGGGUACAUAGCAGCUCUUAUUUUACAUCCUACUCAUACUGAUCAAAGUCACUCAGUUGGGAUGGGUGGGAGUGGGAGGUUUGUGGGGUGGCUUGUGCGGAGGAGUUGGCAGCUUCUUUCCAGGACCUGGUUGCUUCUCUGCUGGAGUUGAAGGAGGCUUAAUCUUCCGAGGUGGCUUGUAUGAGUCUUCAGCAUUCUCAGCAGGAGGGUGACCAGGGUUGUGACCACAAUGUGGUGGCUUCUCUCCCUUAGGUGGUUUGCCAACUGGGGUUGGUGGCUUGUGUUCCGGAAGUGGCUUCUCUUUGUGUUCAGGAGGUGGCUUCUCCACUGGAGGCUUGUGUUCAGGAGGUGGCUUCUCCACCGGAGGCUUGUGUUCAGGAGGUGGCUUCUCCACCGGAGGCUUGUGUUCAGGAGGUGGCUUCUCCACCGGAGGCUUAUGCUCUGGUGGUGGCUUCUCCACCGGAGGCUUAUGCUCUGGUGGUGGCUUCUCCACCGGAGGCUUAUGCAAUGGUGGUGGCUUCUCCACCGGAGGCUUGUGUUCAGGAGGUGGCUUCUCUACCGGAGGCUUAUGCUCUGGUG
Molecule: long non-coding RNA, 64065 nt
Filed under: Vitis vinifera (wine grape)
Lineage: Eukaryota; Viridiplantae; Streptophyta; Magnoliopsida; Vitales; Vitaceae
Description: long non-coding RNA (VVIN_LNC001392)
Source: RNAcentral